RNAcentral lists this long non-coding RNA (70666 nucleotides) under Theobroma cacao (cacao). RNAcentral describes it as "long non-coding RNA (TCAC_LNC003664)". Lineage: Eukaryota; Viridiplantae; Streptophyta; Magnoliopsida; Malvales; Malvaceae. The record is from RNAcentral.
GCUUUUCCAAGAAUUGUAAGUCUAGCUACAACUUUGGUAAACAAGUGACUAGAAAACUUGCAGAAAUAGUUGAUCUAAAGAAUGAAGGAGAUUUUGAAAGGGUAGCUAAGAAUGAACUUGCACCCCAAGUGGAUGUAAGACCUACUGAGCCCACGGUGGGUUUGGAAUCAACAUUGGCUAAUGUCUGGCACUUACUUGAAGAAAAAGGUGUGGGCAUUAUUGGGUUAUAUGGCUUGGGAGGAGUUGGUAAAACAACACUCUGGACCCAAAUUAACAACAAGUUAAGCAAUAACCUAAUCGAUUAUGAUAUUGUAAUUUGGGUGGUGACUUCUAAAGAUCACACUAUCGAAAAGGUUCAAAUGAGUUGUGGCAGAAUAAAAGUUGCGAUGAGAAAGCUACAGAUAUUUUCAGAGUGUUGAUCAAAAAAAGUUUGUUCUACUGUUGGAUGAUGUGUGGGAGCGGGUGGAUUUGAUCAAAGUUGGAAUAACUGUACCGAAUUAGGAAAAUGAUUCUAAACUAGUUUUUACUACUCGUUCUUUAGAGGUAUGUGGAGAAAUGGAAGCUCAUGAGAAAAUCGAAGUAAAAUGUUUAAGCGAAAAUGCAGCUUGGAAAUUGUUUAAAGAGAAGGUUGGAGGAGAAACCCUUGACAGCCAUCUUGACAUUCGAGGGCUAGCUAAACAAGUACCUGCAAAGUGUGGAGGACUGCCACUUGCACUGAUUACAAUCGGUCAAGCCAUGGCUUGCAAGAAGAUGCCCCAAGAUUAGAAGUAUGCGAUUGAGGUCUUAAAAGAGUUUCCGCAUAAAUUAGCAAGAAUGGAUGAACAGGUGUAUCCUCUUUUAAAAUUUAGUUAUGAUAGCUUGCUUAUUAACACGAUGAGGUCUUGCCUUUUGUACUGUAGUUUGUUUUCUAAAUAUUCUAAAAUUUUCAUUUAUGGGUUAAUAGGUUUUUGGUUUUGCGAGGGAUUUUUGAAUGAAUUUGACAACAUAAGUAGAGCUCGAAUGCAAGGGUACAACAUUAUCAAUUCUCUUCUCAAUGCAUGUUUAUUAGAAAGGGAUGAAGAUGUAAAAUUUGUAAGGAUGCAUGAUGUAAUCCAUGACAUGCUUUUGUGGAUAGCACGUGAGUGUGAAGCACUUGAGAAGAAAUUUCUUGUACGAGUAGGGGAAGGAUCAAUUGAGGCAUUUGAUGUUGGAAAUUGGGAAGGGGUGAGAAUGUCAUUGGUGAAGAAUGGAAUUGAAGAUCUAAGAGGAAACCCUGCAUACCCUAAUCUUCAAACUUUAUUUCUCAUCGACAACAAGUUGAAGGUGAUUAGUGAUGGUUUCUUUCAAUUAUGCCCAAUUUGAGAGUUCUAGUCUUGUCUUUAAAUUUAAAUCUCUGUGAGUUGUCAAAGGGAAUUUCAGAACUAAUUUCACUAGAGUAUCUUGAUUUGUCAUAUACAGGAAUAAAAGAGUUACCAAUUGAGUUGAAUAGGUUGUCAAAAUUAAAAUUUUUGAAAUUAUUUGAGACAUAUUAUGUGCCAAAAAUCCCACGACAGCUGAUAUGUAGAUUUUCAAAGUUGAAAAGAUUCGUAAUGACUACGUCAGAAUCUUGUGGAGAUGAAAUGGAUGAAGACAAUAUCCUAAAUGGUGACAAUGAAGGUUUAAUAAAGGAAUUAAAAUACUUGCAACAUUUGGAUGAGCUGAUUAUAGAAAUAAAAUGUAUUUUUGCUUUAGAAAGCCUUUUGAGCUCGCACAAGUUACGAGGAUACACUGAGCAUUUAUGCCUCCGAGAUUUAAGGAAGACAAAGGUAUUGAAUGCUUUAUGUUUAGCAAAUAUGGAGCAUUUAGAGCGCCUAAAUAUUAGCUGUUGUAAAAGCUUGGAAGAGAUGGCAAUAAGGAAGAUGGAGAAGGAAUUAGAAGAAGGAACCUCCUCACUCUUUCCAACUAAUAUUAAUACUUUUAGUCCUUGCUUCCACGCACUGAACCGGGUUUGCAUAAGCAAAUGCAUCAACUUGACGGACAUGGCAUGGCUUAUUUUUGCUCCAAAUCUGAAGUGUCUUAGUGUAAUGUUUUGCUUAAGAAUGGAAGGAAUAAUAAGUGAAGUUGCAACUGUGGUUGGAGUUCCGUAGCCAAGCCCAUUUGCUAAGCUAGAAAGCUUGAUUUACGAGAACUACUAGAAUUGAAGAGCAUAUAUUGGGAUGCCCUACCUUUCCCAUGUUUGAGGCAAAUCAAAGAAUUCAACUGCCCAAAAUUGAAAAAGCUUCCGCUCAACUUUGACAGUGGGAAACAAAUCAGCAUUGAAGGAUAUGAGGAGUGGUGGGAAGAGCUUCAAUGGAAGGAUGAAGCCACUCGAAAUGCUUUUUUACCCUCUUUCAAACGUGUAGAUUGGUGGAAAGAGGUAGACUUCAAGGAUGAAGCCACUCUACGUCCUACGUUUUGGCAACGAUAAAACUAUAAAGGAAAGGUAUGUCAUAUUUUAGAAGCAAUUUUUCCCUUAUUUUUCUCUCUUAUAUUAUCAUUGUCUUCAAAGGUGAGAUGACAUGCUAACUGUGUUUGAUAUGAUAAGGUCUCUAAAAUUCCUGUCCCAGUAGUAUUCAUUUAUUCAUCAAUCAUUUUAAUCCCUAAUUCAUCCAAUAUAUUUGGCAACUAGUAAAUUUUCUUGCUUCGAAUGACCCAAUAAUUUUUAAUUCUUCAUAGUCCUCAUUACAUGUACAGUAAACACAUCUUUGGGAACAACUAAAGAAGCACUAAUAAAUUUUCUGCACAUCUGCAUGUCUUCGUAUUCAUUGGGCAGAGACUGGCGCAUGGACAAGUCAAUCAGUUUGAUGAUAGCUACAUGUAUGUUGAAAUCAACAUUGAAAGAGAGAAAGGAUGCUGGAAAGAGGUAGAAUGGGAAGACAAGACACUUACUCCAUGGUCUAAUAACUUUAUGGGGUUAUGAUCUUGAGGAAUAAAAAACAAUGAAGAACUCAGAUGUAAUAAACCACAAAGUCUUGUUUGGUUUUCUUCUCACUUGUCAAGUUUAGUUUGUCUUGGACCGAGAUUGUAAUUUGGAUGUUCUGUUUUGUGUGGUUGUCUUGUUUUCAUCAUAUCCCAUACUUGAUUUGUUUGGCGAAAUUUCUAUUUAUAUCUAUCACUUGAUAGUUCUCAACUACAGUGAAACAAAAAUUAGAACUGUUUUCUUCUACAUCUCUGCUUGCUGUCAUUUUAGUUCUUGUCAUGAGGUUUGCCAUCUAAACCACGUUGCUUAGGAAUUUAACAGGACCCUUUAUUUUUUUCUUUGAAAACUAAAUAUCAGUAGAUAUUGCUGGUAUGGUGAAGGUCAGUCGAAUAAACCAUCUUGAUGGCAUUGGAGUCCAUCAGUGAACAACACUAGUUCAAUGUAAAGGCUUUUCUAGUUGUCUUCUAUUCCUAUGGUAAUGACAAUGAUAUUAGCCUUGUAAGUUGCCUAAUCUAUCUUCCUAAAAAAAUGUUGCUUUCCCAUGUAAAUGACUGAUUCUUCUCCUCCCUAUCUGCUCCUCUGUUCCUUGCCGCCUCCUCUCUCUUUCUCUUCCCUCUCUUCUAUUUGAAGUCCAUGACAAAGAUGGAAAAACAAACAACUUGUUAGUGUGGAGUUUCAAUCUGAAAAUGGCUAUGGCUUCAAUAAUUUUACCUUUCCCCCCGAUGCAAGUUAUAUGAAAACCCGAUUGGAGAGUUUCACAUCCUGCUACAAAUUACAAAAUGUUUUACAACUCCGAGACACAAAUUUCACUUGAAACUUCCUUGUUCAUAUUGGCAAAAAUCUGAAACCAGUCAACCAGGAUAAUGCAAACAUGCCAUUCGUGGAUUUUAUCUGUAUUCUCAGAGUAAGACAACGGAAAGCGUUUGGGAUUUAACUAGGAUCUCAUGGCCUAUCCAUUUGUUUGAGGAAGAAGUGAUGUGGACUUUUUGAUUGAACAUCCAAAUUCUGCAGAAGCAUCCUGGAAUAUAAAAGUUUGGAAAUGCCAUCAGGAAUAUACUGGAAUCUACCUUGUUGUAAUCUUCAUGGUUCCAGCCUUCAAGAGCAUUGCGGUGAUGCGAAUAAUUUGCCUGGGGUUCUAAAGAAUUGCUUGCAAUGUAGUAUUCAUAUGUACUUCUUGCUGCUUCAACCUCCACCAAUCAUUGAAACUCUGACAGGAAGAAGAGAUGAAGCUUGGAAAAAGGCAUCCGUCUGAGGUAGCAAAAAGCUUGCCUGGAUGGGAACGCAAGUUUAUGUCUUACAAGGCGUUGAAGAAGCAAGUGAAACUGAUAAAUCCCCAUUGUAAUGGAAAGAAAGGGUCAAGAUCAGGCGAUAGAAAAUUGUCAGAGGGUGGAAGCAAUGCGGGGAAUUCACCAGCACAAGGCACGGGUUCAUUAGACAGGGAGCUCAAUAAGAUUAAUACCUAUUAUAUUGACAAACAGGAAGAUUAUGUCAUCAGAUUUCGGGUAAUAUUAUCAGAUCUCCCCCUCAGCAGAAUAAAUCGAAACUUUCUAAAAAAGACUUAAUAUUAAAUUAUUAGGUUGCCUAUUGGUUUCAAUAUUCUGUUAUAGUAUAUUUCCAUGUAUGCCUGUAUUCGCUUUUCUUCCUUCAAGGACAUUGUGAUUCUGUGCUUUCUUGAGGUAGAUAACCCUGCAAUCAGCUCAGUGGUCAUUGUCAGAUUAUUCCAGAGCUCAGGGUCGCAAGACAUCAAGUAUAUUAUCAUAUCCGAACCAAACAGGAACAAGUUAUAAAUUCAAGCUUUCACUUUACAAAGUUUAUUAAGGGAUAAAAAUACUGAGUUUUUAUUUUAGUAGGAAUUCAACUAAAAGUUGAUGUUUAUUUGUUUUUCAGUUGUAUUAUAAUAUUUGAAUUCUAUUCCUAAUUUCAAUUGGAUUUUUUUUUUUAACUUUUUCCAGUUGUAUUAUAACACUUUAAAUAUAUUCCUAAUUUGAAUUGGACUUAUGAUGUCAAACAAUAUAAAAACUUAAUUUCUAUUCAUUUAAGUGUAACUUAAAAAAGAGCACAACAUACCCCGCAGAAAGCCAGGUAAUUCUCUUUUCUAUAUCUUUUGUGGUUUUUCAUAAUAUUUUACUUUUGCAUAUUGUUUCAUUAAUAAAAAAGUUCAUAUUUUUAGACUAUUGAUCUAAGAAAACAUGGAGAAUGCUGAAGCAGAUUGGAAAAAUCUUCCAACACUUUGUUUCUUUUUGAUUCUUGACAAAUUAAAAGCUUCUGGUACGCUGGUUCAAUUUGGUGCAGUUUGCAAGAAUUGGUAUUCAGUUUUUAAUGAUUUUCUUGACUCAAGAAGGCGAUCAGCGCUUAAUCUAGUUCCCAUGCUGGUGAUUCCAACCAAAAAGAGCAACAAAAAUCGAAAAUUAUACAGUUUACAAGCCAAAGCAAAAAUUUGCAACAUUGAGUUACCAAAAUCUUAUGGUACGAGAUUUUGUGGUUCUUGUUAUGAUUGGUUGGCCAUGGUGGAUGAGAAUAUGAUUAUAACUCUCUUAAACCCUUUUAAGGAUGGAAUCACAAUUGAUCUUCCUAAAAUUGAAGUUGUCAAGACAUCGAGCUACCAAUACGACAUUCAGAAGGUUAUCUUAUCAGUUGACCCAUUAUCGUAUCCAGAUAAUUAUGUGGUGGUUGUUAUUCAUGGCACGCAUUACAGAUUAGCUUUCUACAAAUCUGGGCAAAGAGAUUGGAUAUAUCUGGAUAAGGAUUUCACUCUUUUCACCGAUAUUAUUUUUUAUAGAAGUUUAGUUUAUGCUAUUGGAAAUUGGAAUAUGAUAGUUUCUUUUGAUGUUAAUGAUAGUAGUCUCGAUGACACUUUGAAACCACCAAAGUUGAAGACACUUGUGCCUGCAGACAAAUGGUAUCAAAAUUUAGAUAACUAUUCAUAUAAAGCAUAUCUUGUUGAGUCAUCAAAGGGAAAUUUAUUCUCUAUAAAAAGAGAUUUGGAUUUUGACAAGGAUGAUAAUUAUUUGACUAAGAAUUUCAAAAUUUUCAAGUUGAUUUUGGAUGAUCAAAGUGGUGAAUUGUUAGAGCAAAAGGAGGUGAAGAACAUAGACGGAGAUGUAGUGUUUGUGGGAGAUAACAGAACCUUAGCCAUCUCAAUUUUAGAUUUUCCUGAAGCAGAACAGCCGAAUUCUAUAUAUUUCAUAGAUGAUUUGUUCGAUAUGUAUGCAUAUCAGCCAUAUGGUCCUCGAGAUGUUGGUAUUUUCCAUAUAAAAGAUGAAACUCUUGCAGAACAUUAUCAAUUCAAACCUUCACAUAAAAAUCUACCUCCUUAUACUUGGAUUUUACCACCAAUUAAUUUUAAAUUAAAGUCAGUUUAAAUUUGUUUUAGUUUGGGUAUUUGAAGCUCUCUGAAGUCAUGUAAUAUUUUAAUUUUAUAUAUAAAAUUUGGCUUUUCUUUUAAAUUUUCCUCAAUUAUCAUUAUACUAUUACACUAGGAUCAAAAGUAAAAAUAAAAAUAAAUUAUUCGGUAGCAUAAUAAAAAAUGAAAAUCGGAAAAAUUCAAAUAAAGCCUCCCUUACUUCCUUCUUUCCCUUCACGGCCACUGUCCAUUCCACCCCGGGCGGCCGUCCUCCACCUAAGCCACCAUUCCAAUCUCUAAAUCCCAAUUUUGGCCUCCAAAACCCCAACGUUCUGCAAUUCAUCUUAGCCCUAACAACCCAAAUCCAACCACAACAGGUACUCUAAUCCAAGCAGCUGCCACAGUCAGCCUUAGAAACAGAGAGACACCACACUGCCUCUGGCGUAGUCCCGAAGAAGGUUCGGGAAAGAGCCGACCAGGCCGUGAAGCAGGCGUGGCGCGAGCUUAUUGCGCCCAGAAAGAGUGUUACGGCUUGGAAAGUUUCUCAGGCAGCGCCCCACCGGCAGUCCCGGUGGCGCUCCAAGCUGAUUCUUGGAGCUCGUUGGGAUUGGAUAUGCACCGGACUCCGUCUCUUCAAAAGGCUAUAAGCAUUGAGGAAGGGUAAUUAGACAAAUGAAAUGAUAUGUUUGUAUAUAAGCAUGUUUUGUUGCGAUUUAGUGGUUAGUAUGGAUAUUGAAAUCCUUGAGGUAGGCUAAGGAGGAACUGGAUGCCAAUUUUUGGAAGAACCCAAAGUGAAAAUGUUAAAAUUAUUUGGAGAAUGAAAUGCAUGGUUUUACUUUUAUAUAAGAAUAUUUAUGUUAGGAAUGUUAUAAUGUUUUAGAAUUUUAGUCAACUUUUAAUUUUUAAAAAGAAUUUAAUUUACUUUAAUAGCUAGUAACAAGCAAUUACAGAAAAGCAAGUAGCAAAAGCAACAACUAAACAGAGCCUUAAGGGAAGAGUAGGUUUAUUAUUUAAUUUAAAUUUUUUUAUUUUUUGACUUUUGAGAGUUAAAGAUAUCUAUUUCAGCAAAAAUAUGGAGUUAUAUGGAAUUAUAAACUUUGAUGAGCAGGGAAUGAGCAGGGCGUAUCUCUCUAGCCACAUUGAAAACAGCUUUUCACUUGUAGCAGACAAAAUUGAAAAUUUCUACCCUGCUGCAAUUGGAGACCAAAUUAUUGUUUGAAACAUAAUGAUUAUUUCCUUCAAUCCCUUUUUUUUUUUUUCUAAUUUCUUCCUUUCUACUCUUUAUAUUGUUUACGUAAAUGCGUCUAUUCAAUGUUUUGUGGGAGGAUGGAAAAUUACUACGUUGUAUGAGUUAGACAUGGCAAUAUGUGGUAAUGAGGGUGUUAAGACGUUUAAAAUGCUGGGGCUUGGCCCUUUGCUCCAUCAUCCGCUUGUCUUGCGGUACUUCCUACUAAACUCUGAUUAUAUGGAAGUGUUUAAAGUAACAAGUGAGGGUCUAAUUGCUCACUUCAUGAAUAUAUGGACUGUCAUGAAAAUCAAAAAAUUAUUAUUGAUGAAUUUUGGAUUUUGUUGCUGACAAGCAAGCUUUCAUGUGCAAGGAAAAGCUUGGCAUGCAUAUUUGAAGCUUGACGUAUGUAUUGCAUAUCUUCCUACUAACUUUUAGUAGGAAAAGUCUCAUGCACUGAUAGAACCAAUGCCUUUAGAGCUGCAUAAAACUUUUUCAGAAAGCAUGGCUUAUUUUGAUUUUAGAUUUGUUUUACAGGGAUGUAUCAUGAUUUUGUCCCAAAUCAGUGAACACUGCUCAUAAAUUACCACCUCUGAUAUCUAAUCUGUUGGUUCAAAGGCACAUUGUUGAUUAUUAUGACCUGGCAAAACUUCAUUAGUAUAGUAUAAAUUAUUUAUAACUCUUAGGCCUUAACAGUAAAGGAGUUGGCCUUUUAGUGGUCGUGGAGCUGAUAUAUUGCUUCGCGGACUGUGCCAGUACUUAUUAUUAUUGCCCUUCUGCUAUUUUUUGAGUGGAUGCAACGAGCUGAGACUGUGUUAUGCUACAUGAAGUAUGCUUGUUACUUGGCAUAGUGGAGUGGAUACAGAAUUUUGCUGCAUUUUGUUCCACUGAUAUCAGUAACAUCUUUCUGUCCUCUGAGGGAUUAGGGAUGAAAACUGGCAGGUCUGAGUUAAAAACAAGGUCAAACUGUAUGCAAAAUACAAUAGGUAGGCUUUCCUAUGCAGAGAAAGAAAACAAAGUAUUUGAUAGGACAUACAAGCAACCCGAAGUUUGUCACAUGAUUGAUGGUGCAGAAGUUUCUGCGGAGACAUUGGGCAAUAAGAACAGAAAACAAUCAUCUAGAGUUGAUGAACAGAAAGAUGUGGCCUUGGUUAUUGAGUCAAUCAGGCGAGAUGAGUUCCAUCUGGAUCCAAAUCUGUCAGAUAUGGAGAGCAGAAUGUUAAAUAAGCAGCAUGCUUGCAUCGGGAGAGCACUCCAUUUUCUUUCUAAGGAGUUAUGCUCUCAGGACUCACAUUUUCUUCUGGAGCUUGUAAGUUUGCUUUUUGCUUUUUUUUUUUUUAUUUGUGUGCAGUAGGUCUGUGCAUGCUGUAAAAUGUUGCUUAAAUUAAAUAAGUUUUGGACUCACAAUUUGUUAUGAAACUUAAUUUCUAAAUUACAAAAAAGACUAGUGGGAAACUCCUUUUCCAUAGUAGCUUGGAAAUAUGUUAGAGGACAAAUUUAUAUUCAGAUAUUUUAUCUUAGGUAUCUGUAUUCUUGAAGGUCAUUUUUAAUAUUUAGGCAGUUGGUUUUUUGCCACAUGUGGACCCACUGGAGCAGCAUCGUAUUUUUGUGCAUGUCAGUCCAAUAUUUUUAAUAUUUAAGUUUGUAGGUUAUCCUUAAAAAAAUAUUUAUAACACAUUGGUAUUUUUUGUUUAUGGUGUGAUGUUUAGUGUAUUGGUCAAUGCAGUGUUUGGUAUGCUUAAUUUAGGUAUUCCUCUAUCCCACAAUAACUGUCCUCUUUGAAAGAGCUUUAGGAAGCAGUAUAACACAUAGUAGUAAUUAUAGUUGACAGCUUUAUCUCUCAAAAGUAAAGUAGUUUUUUGGUAUUCUUUUUCCUCUUGUUUGUAAAAAUUAUUAAAGGGUGUUGUUGGAAGUUAGAUAAUGAGCCUUUGACUUUUGAUUGUGGAGAAUAUAUUUGGGACAUCCAAAAAAUAGUGAUGAGGACCCUUAUUAUGGGAUAGAGGAGUAUUAAAUUUUUCUGAACUGCUGCUACUAAAUGGUGAAGUGUUAACUGCAUCUGAUUGAGCGUCGUGUUGCUUUAGGUUGAAAAUGCUGAUGAUAAUGUCUAUUCUGAAACUGUGGAACCAACUCUAACAUCUAUUCUUCAAGAGCCGGGUAUAAUUCUUUUCAAUAACGAACAAGGCUUUUCUGCUCAGAACAUCAGAGCUCUUUGUGAUUCUGGAAGCUCGACCAAAAAAGUAUCUGUUGGAUGUGUAGGAAAGAAAGGCAUUGGCUUCAAAUCUGUGUUUCAGGUAUGCUGAAAGCAACAGUUUCAUCCAUAUAUAUUUCAGUUUUUUAAUUUAUAUUCUCUCUCACUGAUUUGCUCUGUUCAAGCAAUGUCGUCUGUUACCAUGUUUUCAUGUCUUGAGUAGAAGAUAUCUGAAAGUGUACGAAUAAGACUUAAAUGGUCCAUUGAGUGACAGUUGGGAGAAGAGGUUAGAUAAUUAAACAAGACAAAUAUUGUGGCUCCUAUCCUUUUGUUCAAGUUAAUAUUUAGCAGCUAGCUUCCUUGAACUGGAAAAUAUUAUACUAAUUUUAAUUAAGCUUGUCCAUUUUCUCUUUCAUAUCAAAAAGUAGAAUGGAAUUUUCUUGACUGCCAAAACAUCAUUUAUUCUACUUUUGAGAAUCCAAAAAUGGUCACUAGAUUGUUAGUCAAUGGUUAUGGACAGAGUGAUUUUCUUCCUGCAUUAAGGUUGAAUAUACCAUUUCCUGCACUGUUUGCUGCAAGAAUCUCAAUUGAAAGGUACUUACUGGGUGUAUUCUGUUAAUGACUGGUUUCUAUGGGCUUAGUUUUUUGGGCAUUUUGCAGGUUACAGAUGCUCCUGAGAUUCAUUCCAAUGGGUUUCCUGUCAAGUUUGAUAUAAGUGAUGGUUGGGUAGGUUUUGUUUUGCCAACUCUAGUUCCUUCUUGUAAUGUUGACUCUUUUGAAAUGCUGUUGAGUGGAGACAAUAAUCAACUGGAUAAUAAAUGUUGGAUCACAUGCUUUGUAUCAGUAACAUCUAAAGGAAAUGAUAAGAUCAAUAUUAUUUCCAUGUUUUCAGAUUUUCAUCCUUCCGUAUGACUCUUUCUCCACAGGCUCCAGUGUAUGGUGUUUUGGAACAUGCUCAAUAAUUCUUUUAUUGUUAUUAGAAAAGAAAUUUUGGCAAAUGGUAUUAUAAAGGUUCCAUGUGGGAUAGAUAACAAGAUAUGGUUUGUAGCAUCCCAAAAGUAGCAGGCUGAUAUUAUUCAUCUUGAUGUGCAAACAACAAAAAUUUCUAUAGCAUUUACACUGGAGAAGUCUGAGCGUGGAUGUUACAGACAAUUUCUGGACCAACAACCUAUAUUUGUUUUUCUUCCUUCAAGGACAUAGUGAUUCUGUUCUUCCUUCACCUGGAGAGGAAGUUGAUGUAGAUAGCCCCUCGAAUCAGUGGUUAUUGUCAGAGUAUUCCAGUUUGUUUCUUUUCCCGUGAAUUGAGAAGUUCAAUUUAUUUCUCUUUUUAUCGCAUCACAUAUUCUCUCUCCUCACAUUUUUAAUUUGGAAUUUUUCCUGGUGUCUUUUAUUUAUCUUGGAAGCAAUCUUUAUUCCCUGAUAAGAGAAUACAAUCAACCCAAACAGCUAAUUGUAAACUUGAGUGUCAUUAUAUAUUAUAGCUUUAUCUACUUCAUAUUUGCAGUUCCUCACUACUUUUUCUUUGACACCUCUAUGCGUGCAGGAUAUUAAGAUUUCAACAAUAUGUCAAAUGAUCUGAUUUUUUGGUAUAAUACUUACUGAUUGGGGGUAAGUUUUGGAAUUUUAAUUUAAUCAGGCUUUGUGGAAAAGCUUAGCUGUGGAUAUGACUGUGCAUAGAGGGAGAGAGGGAGAGGGAGGAGCAGAAGCUUUAUCAACUUUGUAGUUGCAUUAUUUUUUUAUUCCGAACACUUGCACAUGCAGUCUUAGAUAGUAGAAGAGAGAGAGAGAGAGGGAGAGAGAGAGAGAGACUGCGAUACAUAUUUGCAUUGACACUGGCAAAUAAUUUUGAUCUACAUAGACAAUGGACAAGUUACAGACUCAGAUCUGACACUUGCACUGGAUUCCUAGUUUAGUUUCCUAUCUUUUUAAUUUUAGGUGGUACAUGUUUGAGGGAUCAGUUGCAUUUUUAUCUCUCUUGAGUACUUAUUUCUUUCCUGAAUGUUAUCUGCAUGAGGCUGGACGUUGAGGGUUUUUCUUUUAAUCUCACUGUAAUAUGAGGUGCAUUUCAUGGACUUUUAUUUUAUGCAUAGGUUCUGCAAAGAAUGCUCUUCUUUGGCAAGUCAACAGCUUAGAAGAAGAAGAAAAUGAAGUCAAUUCUUCUUUGUCUCCUUUUAUUAGAUUUCUAAACGUUGCUGUGAGUCUACUGUGCUUAGUUGGUUGAAAUAAGUUGUUAUUUACCUAAGUGCUAAAUUGCAGCAGAAUCUAGUAAAUGCUCCUUGAAUCCUUUCGAUAUCUUCUUUUGAGCACUUGGUAACUUGAAGAGCAUGAGCAUAUGAGAUAAGAUUGUUUACUUUCAAUAGUGUAUUAAAGCAUAAUCCUGUUUUUACCUUCUUCGGGGAAAAAUGUUUUUCAGUACAGUUGAGGCAUUAGUGCUAAGUUGGAGCAGAAUUUAGUAAAGGUUCCUUUGACCCCUUCAGUUGAGGCACCUUUAUUGAGACACCCACCUUGAGUGCCUCGGGUGUGCACCUUGAAAGGUAGUAGGCACAAAAAGGCUCAAGCGGUAAGGGUGGGAUGGGGUUGGUAGAAUCUUAGAUUUGAGCUGUAAUAGUCUUCCUUGUACCAGAAAAAGUAAAAAGGUAUGCCUCAAUUAAGUGGCCCCAUUUUUUUAAGAGUUUUUUAAUUGUAUGAGCUGUAUUUUCAAUAGGCAUAAAAGGUCAAUAAAUGUGUUUUUUCAAGAAUAAGGAAAGGAUAGUCUUGUCCAUAUGUUAUCCAUAUGUAACUAGACAUUUUCGGUUGCCAUCUUUUCAAAUAAACUUUGUAAAAUUGAAAUUAUAGGAUAGUACACUGUGUCUGGCUGUUUAAAUUAUUCGGUUUCCUAUUAGUUACCCUAUGUGAUUCCUUGUUUUAAGUAUAUAUGCAACUUAAAGAGGGAUUUUCUCAUUAUUGAUUUGCUUACUUAUAUCUUUAACUUUUUCAUAUUGUAUUGAUUUCAAUAUUCUGUUCUAUUAUGCUCAAUUCCUGUUUCGGGCUGUUCAAAUUAUUUGGUUUCCUAUUGGUUAUCCUAUGUGGUUUCUUGUUAUAGUAUAUAUACAAUUUAAAGAGGGAUUUCCUCUUUAUCGAUUUGUUUAGUUAUAUCUUUAACUUUUCAUAUUAUAGUGAUCUUAAUAUUCUGUUCAAUUAUGCUCAAUUCCUGACAAAUUGUUUUCUUCUGUUUAGUAAUUUUGGGUCGCUGAUUCAGGGCGUCUUAAAUCUAAUUAAUGUGGACUUUCAACGGAUUAGAAAGAUACGUAGAACUAAUUCUCAUUUGUUUGACAAUUGUGUGAAGUAAUCACUGUUAGGAAAAAGCCCUUCCAGGGUGACAGGACACUACACAUCAGUGUCAAGGGGUUUGGGUGGGUUGAGACUUGCUAAUUGAUAAGCAAUUUCAUCACAGUUAAAAAAAGGUGGAGGGGUGAAUUUGCGAUUAAGUGUUAGCUUUUGCACCUAUUCGAAGGGAAGGGAAAGCAUAAUUGCGUGGAUUACUUGGGCAUGCAAUGGAUGCGUGGUUACACUGAAUCACAGGAUUAUUAGAUAGACCAUGCUGAUUGAUAAUAUAUAUGAUAUGUUUGCUACAAUUAAAUGAUGUCUACUUUUCCUCAAUCUUAGGAAUUAUGUAAAUUAUAAUCAAUUGCACCAAAUUAUAUAUAGGGGUGUGACGCUUUUUGUCUUGAAUAAAUUGCAAUAAGAUGGUGAAUUCUGUGCUGAUUAAGGAGUAACACUAGUACAUUAACAACUUGUUUUGCUAGUUGGAAACAUAAUGGUGCCUUGCUCAGCAGUUAAGCUCUUGGCUUAGUGUUAUGUUUAGCAACAGUCGAAGUUGUGAAUAGAUAUGAAAGCCAUGCUGAUGAUGUUCUCAUGGUUGAUCCACAUUUGCACUCUUAUGCCUUUUGAAGUAAUAGUGGAUAAAAACAGCCUGCCCGGGUGGAUACUGUGCUAUUACUUAUUUUGCUUUUCCUUUGUUAUUUGUUUCCUCUCUAGGAACAGCACUUUUCCAUUAUUUAGCAUAAAAAACAAUAAACACAUAGAUUAUGACUUGUAUGUUCACUACAAAUGGGCACCCUUGAUCUACUUUUUAAGCUUUUCUCUAUCUUGAUAGGAAGCAAGUUUUGCUACUAAUAUUAAUGGACUUUUUCUGUGAUUUAAAUAUAUGAAAUAGAACAAAUAUUUCUAUUUAUAUGAUUUCAUAAUUAAAAUAAUAAAGCAUAAAAUAGCAUAAUAUUAUAGAAGAACUAUAAAGACGCACGCAAUAAAACAUGAUUCCCACCAGUGAGUUUUACAUAAAUUAAGAAUAUAAAAAUAUUACAAAAUAACACUUAGAGCUCUUUAAAGUAACUAAAUGACAAUUAAAAUUAUAAAUACCAUUUAAAAUUCUUCGAAGCAACUAAAUGAUAAUUAAAACUAUAAAUACUAAUAUAAUAUCUUAUAAAUGGGUGGGCAUAUUAAGAUAUAAUCUUAGUGACCAUUGUCACGAUGCUCCUUCCUUGCUACUUUUGUUGGAAAACCACGCUUGCAAACGUCACAUUUGAAUUUGAUAACAUUUUUAUCAUGAGAUUGCUCUUGGUGACUUAUAACACUCUGUAAAGACUUGCAUUUUUUAUUGCAAAUGUUGCAAAGGAAAUCAUAGUCAUUGCGCUCAACAUUUUCAUUAGCAGCAUUGGAAGCCAUGGUGUGAAAAAUAAAGUAAAUGGAUGAAUAAAAGACCUCUAGCUAGUUGCUAUCAAAUUACCAAGACGAAGGAUAGUUAUAUAUACAAUAGAAAUAAAUGUUUUUUGCAUGAGCUGGCAGUUGAUUCACAGUAAAUGAAUAAGAAAGAAAUGAGUUGGUUAGUGUGACAAACAACAAUAAUGUAAAUUGUGUGAUUUUUAUUUUAUUACCAGUUUUGGUCAAGAACAUGCAAGUUGCUUGACUCCCUAUUAUGUUAAAUAUCAAAGGUGCAAUUAUGUUAAAUAUCAAAGUUGAGAGCUUUGUCUCCAAAACAUUUUUAGGUGAAUGAUACUUGAUAACUAUGUUUAAAUAAUAAAUAUAACAAUUAAUACUUGAUAACUCCAUAAUUCAAAACUCAGACAAGUUGAUGAAGCGUCCAUUGAAAAAAUAUGUACCAACUUUAUUCUAUCAACACGUUUUUAACUGCCAACAUACAUAGCUGCCAUUUCCACAACCAAGUUACUAGAAACAGUAGAUUAUAAGCAUGCAAUUGCAAGCAUAAACCUUGAUACCUUACACUUGGUAUGGAAAUGGAAUAGACACUAGUUGUAUAAUUAGAUAUCUAAGACUAUAAGUCGAGAACUGAAGAAUGUGCAUCAAGUCCAAUACAAGAAAACUGCUUGGCACCUGUGAAGUUGCAACAACACCAUAAAUAGAGAUUAAUGAUUUGCCAAAACCUGUCACAUACAUGUAAUGAUUUGGUAUGGAAUAGAAAUUAUCUCUGCUUUUAUGGGGAAAUCCAGAUAUGGAUUCAGCACCUAAACAAGUUCAUCCUUGUUACUAAAGGAGAUAAACUUCAGAUCAAUGUCUACAGCAAUGAACCACAGUUGCCACACCUAAGUUUAGAUACAGCUGUAAUUCUUAUAUAACACCAAAUUAGAAAGAUAAAUGUUGUAUUUAUAAUGAAACAAAAGGGCAAAAUUUUAUUAAAACUUACCAUCAAAACAAAAAAAAAAUUAACAAAUUCCACAACACAAAUUUUCAACUUCACUCCAAUAUUGGAAAGAUGAAAUGUUCUAUUUAUAAUGAAAAAAGGAAAAUAUAAAAACAAAAAGAUGAAAUCUUCAGGCUCAGAUGACUAUGAAAAUGUCCCAACUACCCAAUGAGACUGUUUCCCCAUUCUCAAGCUGGCCUCCAACAAUUGAGCCAUGUCAUGUUUUAGACUUUGGAUGACACAUGGUUUGUUUCUGCAUCUUGUUAUCUCUUUUCUAAAUUCUGAAAUCUUCUUCAAUUCAUGUUGCUUGCUGACAAGUGGAACUAAUUGCUCUGCAUAUAGGUUAUCAUCGUCAGAAACAACAGAAUGCUGUGAAUUACUUGGACAACGAUAGAGUAAGCAAACGUUAAAAGGUAAUGGCUUCCACACCGCAUUCUGCCCUUGGUUUGAAAUUUUGUUUCUUGGUGUUCUGUCAUUGGACUCGAUCGCUUACCAGGACUAGUUCAAUGUAAAUUGCUUUCAAGCUGUUGUGUAGUUUUAUGAUAAUGGUAAUUCUAUUAACCUUGUCACUUGGUCUAAAUAUUUUAUAAUGACGUUAGAUGGAAUAUUUUAAUGGUUAAAUAUAAUAAAUUAUUAUGAUUAGGUAAGGUAAGAAAGAGUCCGUCAACCAAAUUAUGAACACAUACAUUGAAGACAUAAGAAAAUUCCUAGAAAAUAGCGUAUUAUUAUCCUGCCACUUGAUUGAAAGCAAUGCGUCCAUUAAUAACUUAAUCUAAAUUAUUUUAGUACCAAUCAAUCGCCCAUUCAGUUAAUAAACAAUCCUAGCGCUAAUGGUCGGUAAAGUCUAAGUCAACACAGAGCGAUAAAGCGUUGCAUACAAGAGAUUCAUCAAAACAAGCAGUCUCUUCAAACCCCCAAUUCAUUCAUUCAUUCUUCUGUGUUCAUCAACCAAAUAUCAUGGGAAAUUUGUGCGCAAUCUCAAUCUCAACAGCGGAUACAGUCUCUCGUUGCUGGGAUUGCAUUGUUGGACAAGCAAGUUACACAUGUAAGCUUGAAGAUAAUCUUAAAGCUCUCACUGUGGAAUUGGCGAAACUAAAAGCACGAAGUGAUGACUUAAAAGAUAGGGUUGAUCUUGCCGAACAACAACGUAUGAAGCAGCUCAACCAAGUUCAACUCUGGCUUUCAAGGGUGCAGACUGUGGCAGCUGAGGCUGAGGAAUUGAUCCAAAACGGUCCUCAAGAAAUUCAGAAAUUAUUCUUUGCUGGCUGCUUUUCCAAGAACUGUAAGUCUAGCUAUAAGUUUGGUAAACAAGUGGCCAGAAAACUUGAAGAAAUAGUGGAUCUAAAUGAAAAAGGAGAAUUCGAAAGGGUAGCUGAGAAUGAACUUGCCCCCCAAGUGGACGUAAGACCUACUGAGCCUACGGUGGGUUUGGAAUCAACAUUGGCUAAUGUCUGGCGCUUACUUGAAGGAAAAGAUGUGGGCAUUAUUGGGCUAUAUGGCUUGGGAGGAGUUGGUAAAACAACACUCUUGACCCAAAUUAACAACAAGUUAAGCAAUAACCUAAUCGGUUAUGAUGUUGUUAUUUGGGUGGUGGUGUCUAAAGAUCACACUAUCGAAAAGGUUCAAGAAAAAAUUGGUGAAAAGGUUGGCCUUUCAAAUGAGUUGUGGAAGAGUAAAAGUUAUGAUGAGAAAGCUAUAGAUAUUUUUAGAAUUUUGAGCAAAAAAAAGUUUGUUCUGUUGAUGGAUGAUGUGUGGGAGCGGGUGGAUUUGAUCAAAGUUGGAAUACCUGUACCGAAUCAGGAUAAUGUUUCUAAAUUAAUUUUUACAACUCGCUUCUUAGAGGUAUGUGGAAAAAUGGAAGCUCAGGAGAAAAUGGAAGUAAAGUGUUUAAGAAAAGAUGAAGCUUGGGAAUUGUUUGAAAAAAAGGUUGGAGAAGAAACCCUUGACAGCCAUCCAGAUACUCGAGGGCUAGCUCAACAAGUAGCUGCAAAGUGUGGAGGACUACCUCUUGCACUGAUUACAAUAGGUCGAGCCAUGGCUUGCAAGAAGAUGCCCCAAGAUUGGAAAUAUGCAAUUGAGGUCUUGCAAAAGUUUCCGCAUAAAUUGGCAAGAAUGGAUCAACAGGUGUACUCUCUUUUAAAAUUUAGUUAUGAUAGCUUGCCUACUGACACGAUGAGGUCUUGCCUUCUGUACUGUAGUUUGUAUCCUGAAGAUUUUUUCAUUAGUGUUAAUCUGCUAAUAGAUUGUUGGUUUUGUGAGGGAUUUUUGGGUGAAUUUGGUAACAUAAGUGGAGCUCGAAUGCAAGGGUACAACAUUAUCAAUUCUCUUGUUGAUGCUUGUUUAUUAGAAAGAAGUGAAUAUUUUGCAGAAUAUGUAAAGAUGCAUGAUGUGAUUCGUGACAUGGCUUUGUGGAUAGCAUGUGAGUGUGAAGCACUUGAGAAGAAAUUUUGUGUACAAGCAAGGGUAGGAUCAAACAAGACACUUGAUUUUGAAAGUUGGGAAGGUUUAAGAAUGUCUUUGGCGUAUAGUGGAAUUGAAGGUCUAAGAGGAACACCUAGAUGUCCUAAUCUUCAAACUUUAUUUCUCAAUGGUAACAAUUUAAAAGUAAUUAGUAAUGGUUUCUUCCAAUUUAUGCGAAAUUUGAGAGUUUUAUACCUAUAUUUUAACAUGCAUCUUUGUGAGUUGCCAAAGGGAUUUUCAGCACUAGUUUCACUAGAGUAUCUCGAUCUAUCAUUUACAAGUGUAAGAGAGUUACCAAUCGAGUUGAAUAGGUUGUCAAGAUUAAAAAUUUUAAACUUGGUAGAGACAAUAUAUCUCCAAAAAAUCCCAAGACAAUUGAUAUGUAGAUUUUCAAAGCUGCAAAUAUUCAGAAUGUCUGUAUUAAGUUCAUAUGAAGAUGAAAUGGAUGAAGACAAUGUCUUGAACGGUGGUAAUGAAGAUCUAUUAAAGGAAUUGAAAUGCUUGGCCCAUUUGGAUGAGCUGCGCAUAGAAAUAAAAAGUGUUUUUGCUUUAGAAAGCCUUUUAAGCUUUCACAACUUACGAGGAUGCACUGAGCAACUUUUGCUCCUAGAUUUUCGGGAGACAAAGGUAUUCAAUGUUUCCUGUUUAGCAAAUAUGGAGCGUUUGGAGAGCCUAGUUGUUAGAAAAUGUGAAAGCAUGGAAGAGAUGGUCAUGAGGAAGAUGGAGAACGAAUUCGGGGAAGGAAGAAUGAUAGAAUCCUCUUCACUCUUUCCAACUAAUAGUAAUCGUAUUGCUCCUUGCUUUCAUGUACUGAGUGAGGUUUCGCUGGGCGGAUGCAACAAGUUGAAGAACGCGACGUGGCUUGCUUUUGUUUCAACCCUAACGAAGCUUGUUGUAAUGUCUUGCUCAAGAAUGGAAGAAAUAAUAAGUGAUCAAGUCACAAACAUGGUUGAAAUUCCAAAUCCAAGCCCAUUUGCUAAGCUAGAAAAGCUUGAUUUACGAGAUCUACCGAAAUUGAAGAGCAUAUGUUGGGGUGCCUUACCUUUCCCAUGUUUACGGCAAAUUAGAGUAUUCAAUUGCUCCAAGUUGAUAAAGCUUCCACUCAACUUCGACAGUGGGAAUCAAAUUAGCAUUGAAGGAUAUCAAGAGUGGUGGGAAAAGAUUCAAUGGAAUGAUGAAGUCACUCGAAAUGCUUUUUUACCUUCUUUCAAAUGUGUAGAUUGGUGGAAAGACGUAGAUUGGGAGGAUGAAGCCAUUAUACAUCCUACUUUGUUGUUUCGGUAACGAUUGUAAACGAAAGGUAUGUGGUAUUUUUCUCUCUUGUAUUAUCAUUGUCUUCAAAGGUGAGAUAGCAUGCUAAUUGUUUGAUAUAAUAAGGUCUCUUUCAAAUACGUUUCUAACUUCUACCUUUUUGUUCUCUUUUACUAAUUUUAAAGGUUUAAAUUAUCUCUAGUACUGUUCAUAAUUGAGAUGAAGACUAAAAUCUUCAAAAUUUCUAUUGAACAAGUAAUAUGCAAUACUUUCAAUGCAAUUAUAUGGUAUAGACAUAGAAUUUUCAAGGGCAAGUGCAUGGAAACAAAUUCUUUCAUGAUGCACAAUCUUCUAACUUGGAAAGGAGUUAUUAAAGGUUAAGAGGUCUUGAGAUAAGUCUUUAAAUGCUAUAAACAAGGUUAUAGUACUUUCAGGAAUUAAUUUUAAUUCUUAUCUUUCUGUCAAAUACUGAAUCUUGAAGGAUGUAAGAAUGACAUGAAUUGAAUAGGAAAAUAAUUAGUACAUUUAUGCUAUACACCAAAUACAGUAUUAGGGCUAAUGCUGCAUAAUUAUGUAAGGGUGUCAUACAAUGAAUUGAAUUUCCAAGAAUUCAUGUGUUAUAAAAGAAAAGAAAAACAACUUUAUGCAUUAAUAAAGGAUUCAACAUUGUGGUUUACAAUGUCAAUUCAUCUAGUAUGUCAACUAGAAAGUUUCGUUGCUUAAAAUUACCCAGUAAUCUUUAAUUCUUCAUAGUCUUCAUUACAUGUACAGGAAACACAACAUAUUUGGGAGCAACUAUAGAAGCAAUAAUAACUUUUCUGCACUGAUGCAUAUCUUCUUAUUCUUUGGGCAGAGACUAGUACAUGGACAAGUCAAUCAGUUUGAUGAUAGCUACAUGUAUUUGGAAAUCAACAUUGAAAGAGAGAAAGGAUGCUGGAAAGUGUCUCAGGACAUUUCCUCAGUGGUCUAAUAAAUUUCUGGAGUUAUGGUCUUGAGGAGCAGAAAACAAUGAAGAACUCAUCAAAUGUAAUAAAUCACAAAGUAUUGUUUGCUUUUUUCUUCUUUUGUUAAGUUUAGUUUGUCUUGGACCUUUGAGAUAGUUAUUUGUAUGUUUUAUUUUGUGUGGUUGUCUUGUUUGUAUCAUAUUUUGACUUGAUUUUCUUGGAGAAAUUUCUAUUUAUAUCUAUCACUUGAUAUUUCUCAACUAAAACAAAUCAAGAUUAGACAUGCUUUCUUGUACAUCACUACUUACUCCCACAAAUCAAGAAUUAAUCUUUUGGAUACUCCCAUUUCGGGUGAUAAUAGGUUAGUUUGCAAAAAAAGUUUAAUUCUUUGGGUUUCUCUAAUUUGUUGCAUUAAAAGGAAUCUAUCAAAGGGAUCCUCUCCUAAGAUUUUGUUAGUGCACAAAAAUAAGGAGAAGUAGGGUUCAGCUAAAAAAAGAAGGAAGAAGUUGAAGGAGGGCAUUUUUGCUGGUUUGAGUAAUUCUAAGUCCCUUUCCAUUUUACCUAGAGACAAUUUUGUUUUUGAUGCAAACAUUGCCCAUAGAAUUCGAUUAUUAAAAGGGAAACCACUGAUUUUGUAAAAUUGGCUAAUAGCUUUGGGGGUUUUUUUUUUUCAUGAUCCGAAUCCUCAGGUUAUUAAUGCCUUGGUUGAUAUAGAUAUCUUUUAGGAUAUGUAAUCUUUUCUAUGUGUCUUGGGGUUUUUUUCCCCUAUGUUAUUUCUCACAUGGAAUGUCAAAGGGAUGAAUAGUGGUGAAAAAAAAUCUUUUAAAAGGAAAAUCUUACCAGUUAAGUUGAAUAUGGUGUUUUUAUGAGAGUCUUGAUAAAAUAGAAUUAUUUUAAUCUUAGAAUUGUUCUUAAAAGUUAGUUAAGUUCUUGAGUUUAUAAUAGUAUUUAGUUAUUUUUAGUUAUUUUCUAAUUAGUUUAUUUUUAUUAAGUUAUUUUAUUUUAUACUAUUUUUAUAUUUAUUUGCCUUAGUUUAGUUAAUAUUUAUUAAUUUUUAUAUUUUUGUGGGACUUUAAAGGAAUAAGGCUUGAUUUUGCUGAAGAAAAGUGUUUAGAGAGCUCAAGCUCUGUUUGUAUAUGUCACAAUAAUUUGAGCAUAACUUUCAAUCCCAAUCUCAAUUCCAAUGUCCAAAUAAAGUCAUUCUUGACCGAUGGAAAGCUAAGAGAUAGAGUUACAACUUUCAUUCAAGUUACUUUGCCCAUUUAUGCCUCGAUGAUAGAGAAAAUUGCAUUGAAAGUUGCCAGAGUGUUGUAGUCAAAAAGAGAAGGCUUGAAGCCAAGGGAGCAUAGCGGCAUUGAUGGGGUGUGCCACGACAUCGAAGAGAAAAAUUUGAAUAAGUUGUUGCAAGAAAGAAAAGGAUUCGAGCUGACUUAAGUCCUCUGGGCUCUACACUUAUUUUAAGCUGAAAUUAAGAGUCAUUAGGCUAAAGUAGUUAAGUUUAUGACAAAUUAGGUUAAUUAGUUUCGAUUAUAUAUAGAUAACUUGAGAAGAAGCUAGCCAUAAGAAGAAAAUCUUAAGAGAAAUUCAAGAAGUUAAAAGGUUGAGGCUGAACAUUGAAGAUCAAGAUUGUAAAAUUUGUUUAUUUUCUUCUUCCUUAGCUUUUAUUAUUCUUGUUACUCUUGAUGGCUAAACUUCAUAUUUUUUUAUUUAUUAUUGCAAUUAUGAGUUGCUAAAGUUCUUUUUCUAGGACUGCAAUUGAACUCACAUGUAAUCUAAAGUUUUAAUCUAUUUCUAGCUUAUUUUCAAUGGAAUUGAAUUGUAUAUUCUUAUUUGUCCUCAAUGCUUUUAAUUGCCUGAUUACUAAUUAAAUUGAUUUAGAAACCUAAACACAACUUUGGAUAGAGAGUUUAGUGAAGAAUAAAAUUAGAAUAACAUAUGAUCAUAUUUAUUUACUUGGUUGAAUAAAUUGAUUUAUGUAUAGAAUAGAGAUAUACCUAUAUUCCAUAUGUCAAGCCCAACUCUAUAAAAUAUUUGCCAUGUCAUUCAUGUGCUUGAUAAUAUGUUUGCAUACUUGGAAAGUCCCGAAAAAAAUCGUUAAAAGUCUGUAGUGAACCUAGUGGUACAACUAAGCUGAAUUAAGCCUCGAACUAGUCCAAAUAGAGAUUUUAAGAUGAAAUUGAGAAUUUUGAAAACUCAGAAUGACUUAAUAUGGUGAUUUGGAGUUCGAGGAUUGAUUUGGAGUCAAAUUGGAAUUUUCAUGAUGUAGGGACAAAAUGGUCAUUUUGCCACCUAAGGGCAAAAUUGGAAUUUUAUACCACCCAUCACUUGUCAUGCCUAAGGAUUUCAUCAAUUAACAUUUUAUAUUAUGGAUAAUUGAGAUAUUUUAUGUGGUGGUGAAAGAAAGCUUAGUUGUUAAUUGUUAAACAUGGACCAAUGGAAUGGUGACAAGUGGCAAGCUUUCAUUUCUUUAUAAUUUACAUUAAAAAUCAGCACAUGACUCUUCCAUUUCACUCCCAUAUGUUCAGCCUCGCCAAGGAAAAGAGGAAAGAAAGAAAGAACAAACCCUAGUGAGCAAAAAUUCAAGGGAAAAUUAGUGGAUUUCAAGAAAUUAAGCAAGUAAAGGUAAAAUUUCUUGAUUUUAGCUUGUGAUCUACCUUUCCUAUGCAUUCUUUUUCAUUUUCCAUGAUUGAGAAUCAAGUUUGCAUGAAGAUACCUUUGCUGGCCGGACAUGGAGGGAGGGAUUUUGAUCUUGGAUUUAGUUGGAAAACAUGUUAUUCUAGUGUUUUUAGUUAGUUGGUGAUGUGUAGCAUGAAAAACAAAUAAGAAAAAAUUCAUGUUCUUCCAUCACCCUCAUUGGCCGAAUCUUCCUUAUGGUAUGUUGAUGGUGCAUUUGAUUUCAUAUCAAGUGAUUUGGUUAGGAACUAAUGAUUUAUGGUGUAAAAAAAAUCAAGUAUGAAAAAUCAUAGUAUUUUUGCACCCACCAUGGCCGAAUUUCAUAAGGAACCUAGUGAUGAUGAUUUUUGUGAUAUCUUGUGUUAUUUAGUUAGAAUUUAAUGAAUGGUGGUGAUGGAAAUCGAAAAUAGUAAUUUUAAAGUAAAGUUCUUUUAGUAAAUAAGUUGAAUAAUAAUGAGAAAGUCAAGCUCAUUGAGGCGCUUUGGUGCAUUUUGGGACAUUGGAAGUGUGAUGAAUAUAAUUGGAGUCAAUUUGGAUGUUUUAGUUAAAUCAAAGAUGGAGAGUUCUAAUUAGGUCGAAAACUGAUCCAUUCCGAUCACAAUUGAACCAAAGUGUAACACCGUCUUUAAGUGACUAUCCAAACAACCUCAUGCAUUCAUAUAGAGCCUGAAAUAGAUUUAUAAUGACAUGACACAAUAUAUUGAAUUAUUUAUCGUGUAUUGUGUAUAGGUGGUGAAACUUUCGAUAAGAGUAAGGAGAUAGUACCCGAAGAUCGGGACUAGGAGUACUUCGACUCCCGAUAUCGUGAGUAACCUUAUUAUCGUUUUAAUUAUCUAAAGUAGUUUUUAUUCAUUUUUGUGAUUUUAUAGAAAAAUAAGUUUAAAUGGUAAAUCCUUAUGUUUUAUAAGUAAAAUGUGAUUAAAUGAAAUGAGUUUUAUAAAUCAUUUUGAAAUUAAAUGAUGAUUUUAGAAAUUGAGUAAUUAGAGACUAUUUGUUUGUGUUGUAAAUUUAUGGUUUGAAUUAAAUGGCUUAUGGUGAUAUUGGCAUCAAUGGCUGAAUUGCAAAUUGUGUUGAAAUUGUAUGAACUAUUUGUUUUGCCUUGAUAGGCUGGGUAGUAAUAUAAUUGCCAUGUCAUGCUGUCGAAACUUUUAUUGAUUUGGUGGGAUAUCGAUUAGCUUACUGCAGUGGGCGGGUUUCUGUGGACCAGCCUAUUAGAGGGGCAUGGUAAACCCUGUUAUAUUUUACCUCGGUACGAGAGGCGCGGAGGGUAACUCCUGAGGUAAAGCUUUAGAGUUCAUUACACGCUAAACCAUCACGUGAGAGUGAACUCAGCCAACGCUAAGGAACGGCUAUGCUUUUGAAUGUAAAAAUGUGUUUUAAGCUUAUAUGAACUUUUCUUUAACAACUAUGGCGGACUCGGUUAGAUGCCUCGUCCAAGGUAUCCCCGAGAAUAAGUUUUGGCACGAGCCAAAUUUUUAAGAAAUUCAUAAGCCAUGUUGAUUAUUUGAGUGAAAUGAAUUUAUUUUAUUUAGUUGAAAUGAGUUUGAAACGUUGUGAAUCAUAGUACGAGGAACUAUUUUAAGUUGUCUCCAUUUACUCGGCUCUAGAUAUUUUAGAUGAUGUUUGUUUACUCACUGAGUUUAUAUAAACUCACCACCUCCUUUUCACCCAUUUCAGGCUCAAGAUAAUCUGUAGAUAGCUGAUUUCGUCGAGGACUACAGUUGGAUUUGCAUCUUAAAAAAUUGUAGGUUCAUAGCCUUUGUUACCUUUGGUCAUUCGGGGGCCCACAUGUCAUUAUAAUUUAAAUUACACACUCUGGCUCACUGUGUUAUUGUAUGUACGAAUUUAUUUUGCUUUUAUGCUCCAAAAAUUAUUUACGGAUAUCUCUAUAAAUAUUGUUUUAUGAGAAAAUAGAAUAUUUCAUUUAAUAUUUUUAUUUUAUUCUAUUAGCUACAAUUUCACCCUAAAUGAAUGUUUUAGACAUCUAAACUUAAUUUUGGUUAUGAAAUAUGUAUCUUUCACUCAUAUACUACAUUUUUANAAAUUAUAUUUUUUUUAUUGUUUUGGUUUGGAAAUAGCUUAUAAUCUUUUAAAAUAUGAUAUUAGCAACUAUUGCUCGCAGGGGAGGCGAAAAAAUUGAUAUUAAAGCCUUGCAGGGUUUCGAUUGGCAUUUCGGGUAAUGUAUAUCUAUCGGGACAUCACGACGGUUGUCACGGGCUUGAGGAGAGUACCUGGUCGUGACACCAUAUGUAGCCAAGAUUAGAGCCUGAACUUGAUGAAUCUAUUUUAAUUUGAAGUCACAUAGGGUUAUAGUGUUUUAAUUAAAGUAGAUAUUUUUAUAAGAGUUUCGAAAAAGCCUUAUAAAUAAUUGAAGACUUCAGGGUAGCGAUUUAAUAUAUUGGAAUAAGUUAAGAGAGAGAGAGGUAAGAUUUAGAAGAAGUGAGAGGGAUAUCUUAAUCCUAAGCUUGUUUAAAUUUAUUUUUAUUCAAUUAAAUUUUUUCUUUGAUUUUUAAUUAUUGUUAAUUAGUUUCUUUCUUUUGUUAAUUAAUUUUUAAUUAUUUAAAUAAGAUUAAAUUAUUGUAAUUUUAGUAAUUAGUAAAAUUUUAAAUCAAUUUUUAAUGUGAUCGAUACUCUGCUUACAGUUGUAUUAUCUUUCUUAUACGUAUACUUGUGUGGAUGGAGAAUUUUAACAAUAAAUCUAAACUGAAAUCUAUUAAUUCCCAUUUAUUCAGCAGCCUUUGGAAUAUUAAUGGUAUUUCUUGGGCUUGUGUUUUUUCUAAAGGAGCUUCUGGGGGAUUGAUUUCUGCUUGGUAGGACUCUUUUUCUCUUGUGAAUCUAGAAUAGAAAGGAAGCACUUUACUUUGUUAAUUAAGACUCUUAAAAAGGUCAGUAGAUAGGUGGGUUUUGGGAACAUUUAUGGCCCUAAUGAUGAAGAUGACAAAAGAUCUAUUUGGCUUGAACUUGCCGAGAUUAUUAAUGAGUCCAAUCUGCCUUAGUGUUUGGGGGGUGAUUUUAAUAUUGUUCUUUCGUAUAAGGAGAUAUUGGGCUGGUAGGGUAGUGAAAGAACCAUUCUUCAUUUUCAAUAAUUCAUCAAUGAUGUUAGUUUGUUAGAUCUUCCUCUAUUUGGAGGUAGCUUUUCUUGGUGUAACAAUCGAGACCCGCCUUCAUUUAACAGGCCUGACAGAUUCCAUGUCGACCUUCAGUUCUAUCCUGACUGGCAUGACCUUGUGCGGAGAUGUCUUCCAUCAUCUCUUUCAAAUCAUAAUCCUAUUUCUUUAUGUGAUGGUUUUAACUCUUAGGGUCCUAGGCUUUUCCAGUUUUUCAAUUUUUGGCUUGAAAAUGAUAGCUUCCAAGAGUUGAGGAAUUUUGUAUGGGAUGCCAUAGUUUAUUUCAAUAGUUCUAGAGUUCUAUUGUGGGAAAGGCUCAAAUCUUUUAAACCAAAAAUCAAGUUGUGGCAGCAGUCAACUUUUAGGAAAUUUGAUGACAAAAUCUCUAUUUUAGAGAUUGAUAUUCAGGGGAAACUUAUGGCUUUACAGCAGGGGCCUAAUAAUUUAUCUCUUGGGGAGGAUUUUAUUCAUCUUAAAGUUGAAUUAUGGAAUCUUUACAAAAUAGAAGAACUUUCUUGGUACCAAAAAUCUAGAAUUAAGUGGUUUCUUGAGGGAAAUCGUAAUACUAAAUUCUUUCGCAUGGUUGCUUCCAACAAAAGAAGAUUGAACUGGAUUGAUAAAAUUUCUGUCAAUGUUAAAGUUUUUUCAGAACCAGAAUCUAUUUUGAAUUUUAUUACUACCUUUUUUGUGAAUCACUUUAAGAAGAUGACUGUUUUAAAAAUUUUUUAGUUUAAUUCUCUUUUAAACUCUUUGGAUUCUUCUUUUGCUUCACAUCUUGAAGAGCCUUUUUCUGAAGCUAAAAUUUGGUCUCCUAUUGAAAAUUCUGAUGGCAAUAAAGCGCUAGGUCCUAAUGGUUUCAAUAUGGCUUUCUUAAAAAACCAGUGGGGUAAAAUCACGAAUGAUUUGAUGUCUCUAUUUUCUGAUUCUUUUUUUAAUUUUGGUUCCUUGGAUAGAAGAAUGAAUUCCUCUUUUAAUUCUCUUAUCUCAAUAAGGGCUAAUUCGAAAAAUAUUUCUGAUUUUCAUCCUAUAAACCGUGUGGGCUGUCUUUAUAAACUAGUGGCAAAAGUCUUGGCUAAUAGGCUUAAACUUGUUAUGGGGAAUAUCACUGGCCCGAUAAAGUUCACCUUCACUCAGGGUCGACAAAUUUUGGAUUGUGUCCGAAUUACUAAUGAGAUCAUUGAUCAUAUGAAAAGGAUUCUAAAAGUGGCGUUAUUUUUAAAAUUGGUUUUCAAAAAGCUUAUGAUUGUAUUGACUGGGAGUUUUAGAUUUUCUUAUGGGCAAAAUGGGUUUCAGAUUCAAAUGGUGUAAAUGGAUUCAUUCUUGCAUAUCCACCGCUCAAGCCUUGUUUUGGCUAACGGUACUCCCACCAGGUAGCUUUCAAUGCAUAGGGGGUUUUGCCAAGGGUGUACCUUUUCAUCCUUUCUCUUUAAUCUUGUGGGUGAGGCCUUGAAUUCGAUGAUUAAUAGUGUUGUCCCUUUAGGAUUUCUACGUGGUAUUAAUGUUGGAAGGAAUGGUCUGGUGGUUUCCCAUUUUCAAUUUGCGGACGAUGCCAUCUUCUUCUGCAAACCAGACCUAGACAAUUUAUUAUGUACUCGCUGCAUUCUCUGAUGUUUUCAACUCAUCUUAGGUUUGAAAACUAAUUUCCAACGAAGUUUCUUAUAUGGUAUUGGGGUGGUAAGAAAUCUUUUCAAUGAGCAGGCCAGAAUUAUUUACUGGAAUGUUGAUAAAUUUCUUGCUUCAUAUCUGGGCCUUCCUAUUGGUGAUCAUCUCAAUUCAAAGGCCUUAUGAAAUCCUAUCAUUGACAAAUUCGAGUCAAGAUUGGCAAGCUAGAAAGCUAAUCUUUUUUCUUCUGGUGGCAGAGUUAUCUUGAUUAAUUAUAUCCUUGCUUUGUUGCCGGUUUAUUUUAUGUCUUUAUUUUGGAUGCCUAUUGAAAUUAAAGACAAGCUUGAUAAAAUCAUAAGAAGAUUCCUUUGGAGCACUAUAGUAAUAGAAGGAAAAUGCACCAUGUCAAUUAGGAUUUUGUUUGUCCUCCUAAAGAUGGGCGGGUUAGGAAUUGUUAAUCUGCACAUUAAAAAUUCUACUAUGCUCCACAAAUGGAUAUGGCAUUUUGGAGUGGAAAAUGAUAGCCUUUGGCAUGAAACUAUUAUCGAGAAAAAUGGUAUGAAUCCUAACUCUGUUCUUCCCAUUUGUUUUUCAUCAAGGAACAUGUCUUAUCUUUGGAAGAAUAUUGUUAAACCCUUGACUUCCAAUGAUAGUUUAUCUUGCAUUGUUAAGAAUGGGAUUGGAUUCUCUCCAAGCAUGGAGAAUAGAAUUAAAUUUUGGCAUGAUUGUUGGUAUGAUGGUUCACCUCUUAAAUCAUCCUUUCUUUGAAUUUUCGCCCCAUCUUUAUGUAAAAAUGGCUUUCUUAAUGGUUAUGGUGAGUGGAUUGAUUAUUUUUGGUGUUGGAAUAUUCCUUUAAGAAGAGUGCUCUUUGAUUGGGAAAAGGGAUAAUGGGAUCUUCUUAUUAAAUUAUUAUGAAUUUCUCCCUUAUCAAAGAUAAACUGGAUAGAAUAAUUUGGAAAAAGAACCUUAGUGGUGUUUACUCUGUUAGCAAAUUUUAUCGAUCAGCUUGUUAAGCUCUUGGUGCCUCUGAUGGGGAAAGUAAGUUUUGGAAUUUAAUAUGGGCUAAUCUUGCACCACCUAAGUGUGAGAUGUUUUGUUGGCAAGUCAUGAAAGGUGGUAUUGUUGUGAAAGCUGAAUUACUAAAAAGAUGAAUUAUCAAUCAUAAUUCUACCCUUGGUCCUAUUUGUAGUUAUGAAAUUGGGUAUAUUGACCACCUAUUUAAUGAAUGUCAGGAUGUUUGGAAAGUAUGGACUUGGUGACUUAAAGCUUGGGGCAUCUCAAGGGUCUUUCUUGGUAAGAUGUGUGAUCUUUUCAUUGCCUGGAAUGAUAAAUUUUCUGAUUAUGAUCGCAACUCCGUUUGGCGACUGGUUUUUUUGGUGAUCCUUUGGACUAUUUGGAUUCAUAGAAACAAUCUUGUUUUUAAUGAUAAUCUUUGGGAUCAUAGGUACAUUUUUCAUAUUGUGAAGCUUAAAGUGAGAUGGUGGAUAAGAGCCAAAUUGCCACAGGUUAAUUCUUCUGUUACUGAUAUGUUUUCUUUGCCAACUUGUAUUAAUGCUCCAUGUUCCAAGUAAAAAUCUAGGAAGAAGUGUGAUUGGGGUAAACCUUCGAUGGGUUUUAUGAAGUUCAAUAUUGAUGGUGCUGCUCGGGGUUGCCCCAGUCCUUCUGGUAUGGGUGGUGCAAUGCAUAAUCAUGAAGAACAUGUUAAAAUCCUCUUUUCCAAACCGCUUGGCCAUGGUGAUUCCAAUAUGGAAGAAAUCCUUGCUAUUAAGGAAGUUUUUUUUAUCUUUUUGUAGCUUUUUCAUGGUGCUGUAUUCAUUCCUUCAUUGUUGAAUUUGAUUCGUCUAAUGCUGUUUGUGGGUUAACCAAACAUUUUCUGUUCCUUGGAGAUUUAAAGGGAUCAUGACCAUAUCAAUUGUUUGAAGAACAAAAUCAAGAAUUGGUCUGUUAUUCAUACAUCAAGAAAGGCUAAUCACCUGGCUGACAGACUUGCCAAAUUGGCAGUGGAUCGCUCAACUGAUCAUCUUUAACUGUUUGCUUAGUUUUUUUUUUUCCUUAUGGGUUCCCUUAGUGUUGUUUCUGUCUUCUUUUGAUGACUUUCCACUUGUUUUUAUUGUCUGCAUUGGUCUUGAGAACGUUUUCCAUUUGUUCUCUGUUUCUGUUUGUGGCACCUUGUAUUGAAGAGUUCUCAUCUGCUGAUGAGGCUCUAUCAUUUUAAUAACAUAUGAUGCCAUUCAAAAAAAAAAACCAAAUUAAUCAAACUGAAUUAUUAUAUUUUAAUUUGAUUUUCAUUACAAUAUGAUUUGUUUUUUUUUUUAAAUAAAAACCAAAAUUUGCAAUUUGAUCUAGAUUUACCCUUGAAAAACUGAUCCAAACCAAACCAUGCUCAUCCUUUUUAUUUUGGGGUGUUGAUUUGGGCAUGGUAAUAGAUAAGACCUUAAGAGAGGAGAGAGAAAUAACAACAUGGAGGUGAUAUGAAAUUAAAACAGAAAACAAAGAACCUUUGCUAUCAAUGACAAUUCUUGCAUUGAUAUGUCAAAAACCAUUUUAGGGCAUGAAUCUUUUAAUUACAACAAGAAGUAGAUGAAUUGUCCUAUUUGCUUCAUCAUGAUCCUACAUAUAAUUACUCUAAUUUGUCUAAACUCUGAAUCCUAUAAAGAGUCCUUUGAGACUUGAACAAGUGAUAUAAAAAAAGAGGAAAAAGCCAACAAGAAUAUAUAGUAUUACCUUGCAAAUGUUGACCAGCAGAGUUGCAUUUAUGCUGAAGGUCGUCAUCAAGUUCAUAUACGAGAUCAAUGACAAAUUCUUUUACAUAUAAAUCAGAAAAUACUGUACAACUCACUUGAUCACCUUCUUCCAAUUCACCCAUAAAUCUCCAAGAACUAAACCAAAAAAUAUUGUUCUUGGCGUUAGGAAUUCCGAUGAAAUUUUUAUAAUAGAUCUAUUUAGUAUCUUUGGUCUUGUUGACAAUCUCAAUACGUGAUAAAAAAUCAAAUAUUUUAUUGUCUUCCUUAAAAAGAAUGGCCCCCAAGUUUAGAUAGACAAUAUGUUGACCAAGGCUUCGGGCCACUACAAAUGAAACCUUGUUUCCGACAGCAUGAUAGUCGUACCGACCCUUUGGAAGGUCAUAUAUAUCAUACAUGCUAAUUAUCCCACAAUCAUAUAACACCUGUAACAAUAUUAAAUUAAUUAUAAGUUAUAAAAAGAAAGAAAAGAAUAAUAAACCAAAAAUAUUAGAAAGGAGAUCAAGGAAACCUUAGGGGAAGCAAUCAUUUUUUAUUCCUCUAAAUCAUUGUAAAUUUGCACUUUGAUAUUUCCACUUGAGCCCAAUUUGAGUAAUUCUUCAUUAACUUUCAACUCAAUCUCUCUCCAAAUAUCUUCAUUUUCUAAAAGAUGAAAAAAAUAAAUAUGUCAUUAUUAUACAAUUUUAAUAAUCAAAUACUACAUUUCCAUGAGUAUUCGUGUAUAAAAAAAUUGAAUUUAAAAAUACAACAAAAAAAGCCUUGAAGAUACAAUAGUAUAGUGGUGCAUGAAAAAAAAAAUUAAAUUUUAAAUUAGGAUCCAGGUUAAAAUUAAUAUUAAUAUAUUAAAAGAAUGCUAAGAAUUUGAGACCCAAUUAAUUUAGAAGACUUAGGUUGAAAUUAUAGGAAAAGGACAAGAAUAGAUGAGAAAAUGCUACAUAUCAUUUUUGUAGCUUAAGAUCAUAUGUAUAAGAAUAGGAACAAUAUUAUAAGUGAAAAGGCUUUUGUUAAGGGGGAAAGAUCUUCCAUUUUUAAGAAUCGAGGACUUGAUUAUAUAUGACUUAUAAGUAACGGCAUACUUUUUCCCUACGAGGUACUUUUUUUCAAAAGAACAAAAUUGCAAUAACAAAUCUCAAAAUAGAUAAUAUCUUGUAAUCUAAUGUAGUCCAAUAAAUCUAGCAUUAACAAAUGGCUUUGUUUGUGGGACUCCCAUACUGACCUUCAAAGAAAACACAAUCUACUCUGAUUGGGGUGUUAAUGUUGAGGGAAAAAAUUCCACAUCUUUUCUUUUUUUGAAAAAAAUUAGAUUCCACAUCUUUAAGAACCAAAGAUUGAAUUGUAACUUAUAAAUAAAGACAUGUUCCCUCACAAGGUGCCUUUUUUCAAAAUGAUAAUAUCGUCAAGGUAGGCCUUAAAAAAAAACAAUAUCUUGUAAUAAGGUGCAAUCCAACAAUCCUAUCAUCAUUAGCUCUUUUUAUAUUUAUUGCUAUAGUUAACCUAGGGUGAUUUAUAAAUAUUUUGACCUAAAGCAAGCAUCUAUAGGUGCUUAUAAGAUAGACCAAGCUCAAUUAACAAUUCAAAAACUUAAGCUUGGGCAAUAAGGCCUAUUUUUUCCUAUUUAUUAUUUAAGUAUUAAAAAUAUUUUUGACAUAAUAUCUAAAAAAAUCCUUAAAUUAUUUAAGAAAAUUUAAACAAACCUUUACACUUUUAUUGCAUUAAUCAAGUUCUUAUACUUUUAUUUUGAGUCAAAUAAGUCAUUGUGCUUUUAUUUUGAAUCCAAUAAGUCUUUAUAAUUAAAGAUUGACUUAAUCAAAGUGUCAUUUAUCAUUUUAUAUUAUGUGACAUUGACAUAACAUUCUAACAUGUCAUAAUUGAUAAUGCUUUGACAUGCUAACAUAUCGUGUACUUAGUUUUUUUUAUCUCAAAAAUUCAUAUAUUAAUUUAAAAAAUUUCCAUGAAAAAAGCAAGAUAUAAGAAACAAUUGAUAUAUAAAGUCAAGCCAAAAAGAUAAAAAGUUCUUAUAAAUGCUAUUAGGUGCAAUCAUACCUUGAGAGUAUUGUGGAGUAUCAUCUUCAUACAUAACCUUGGUUUUUGAUACACAAGUAACACCAAAUUCUCUUACAUUGAAACCAGAAGUUGAUAAUUUGCAGCUCACUAAAUCACCAUGUUCCAACUGAUAAUCCAUUAUUGGCCAAUGGAUUAGCCAUAAGAUUGUGUUACUAUUGGUUUUAGGAAUUCCAAUGAAACUUGAGAAAUAAGACCACGUCAACUUCUUGGUCUCAUUAACAAUUUGCACCGAUGCUAGAUAUUCAAAUAUCUCAUCACUAACAAGAGAAUAUACUAUGCAUAGUUUUAACCAACAAACUUUUUCACCAGGAUUUUGUGGCAAAGAAAAAGAAAUUUUAGACCCUUUAGAGCGAGACUCAAAUAAGAUUGGAACCUCAUUUCCGAAGACAAAGCAGCUAGUUAUGUCGCCAUCAUGAAAUAUCUGAGACAUUAAAACCAUUAUUUAUGAAAGUAUUAAAUAAUGUAUAAGAAGAAAAUAAAAAUUUUUAGUAGACUGAGAAAAGACCUGGGUGGUAGCCACCAUUUUUGUGUCCGUAAGAUAGUUAUAAAUUUUCAACUUAAUGCUUCUGAUCAAGUCCAUAUUGAAUAAGCUUUUGAUCUUUUCCACUUCAAAGUUUUCAACUGGUUCCGACUUGAACACACCUUCAACCUCAGUUAGCUUUUCACAACCAAAGACAAUACACCUUUUCAAAUUUAGUAAGCAUGGCAGACAUGAAAUCCUAUACAAUGAUUGAGACGUUAUCACACGCAAGCCACUCGUUGGAAGCUUUGGAAGCCAUUGGAGCUCUUUGCAACAAAUCAGCAGAAGUUCAUCAAGGUUUGUAAGGUGGAUAAUGCUCUCAGGAAGGCUAGGAAUUGGGUUUCUACUUAAAUUUAAUGAUUUCAAGGAAGGUAAGUAACUCAAAUCAACAGCCAUAACAUCAUUAGAUAGUCUGCAACUUUCAAGACUCAACUUUACCAAAGAACAUGGCAAAGAUGCCCAAAAGAAACCCAACUCUUUGCUUCUUUUUAGUGAUAACCAAGACAACCAGGAAUUGGAUUCAUAGAUAGGAGUUCCAUCUAAGUUAAGCACCCUCAAUGAUUUCAUAUUCUGCAAAUCCCUAGGUGCAUCAUUAAAUGUUGAGCAACCAGAUAAAAUAAGUUCUUCCAAAUAUUCUAACGAACCAAUUGUCCUUGGAAGUUUUCUUAGAUUUUUGUAACCUUUAAGGUUUAAAACAACAAGAGUCUUUAUCUCAGCAAUAGAUUGAUCAACCUCAAUCAACUUUGUGCAAUCUUUCAGCAUCAACCUUUGAGACUAUGAAGACUUGAUAAGUUAAGGAUUUUGAGAAGACCAUGGGAGUGACUGAGAUUAAGGAUCUUCAAGUUUGGAAGAAAGUACUGUAGAAAAGGAAAAAAAAAUUAGCCUUAUAAUUUUGUUUUUGCUUUACAAAAAGUAAAGAGAAAUUAAGUAGUAUCACACCUUUGUAUCAUUCCAAACACAUUUGAGGCUACUGUUGCACAUCUCAAGAACAACUAGCCUAGAAAUAUCUAAAUCUUUAGGAAGAAAUUCUUGAGGAAAUCCAUGCCAACACAACCAUAUUAAGCUCUUAGGGAAGUCUCUGUAGUCUCCUUUAAGUUUUACAUAAUCUAGUUGAAGUAGUUUAAGUCUCUGCAUCUUUGCAAAAGCAUUAGUUUCUAUAUGUACCUCAUUUGACAUGAGAAAUGAAUUUUUUGAAUGAUUUGCAGUUGCCUUUCCGUGCUUAUCUUCUAGCAAUCUUUGAAAGCCAAUGGUAAGGCACUUGAUUGUUUGUGUGCCCUGUUGGAGAAAGAAUUUUUUAGUUUAAAAAAGUACGAUAUUAGAAAAUUGAAUAAAAAGAGUAGAAGAAAAUGAAAUCUCUCUUACAAUUUUUUCUCUUAAUGCAUCAAAUGCGUCCUUAUGCCACAACCUGCUUCGUUUGCCAAGGUCAAAAGAUUCUUGACGAAUAAUGUGCCUUCCCAUAUCUCUAAUCAUUUGAUGCAUCAUCAACUUGUUUCUUUCAUUAAUAACCAAAAGAGACCUAUUUAUGAGAUUUUCUAUACCAAUUACUGUAUAGUAAUCACAACCAUCUAGAAUUUUAAUUGUGUAAUCUCUAUCCUUCCCGAUGAAUACACAAGCUAUGUCAAGGAAUAGAUUUUUAUCAUGAUCAUCUUGUAGGGAACCAUAACUUAUUCUUAGAAUCUUUUGAAUUUUGCUAUGAGGGAUUGCUUUCAAUUUCUCUAAUGCACUUCUCCACACAUUUAUACUUUUACUAGACAAAGAAGAACCCAAAACUUGAAGAGCUAAUGGAAGCCCACCACAAUGUUUCACUAUACUCUUUGCAUAAUCCAUAUAACUUUCAAUUGGAUCAUUCUGUCUGAAGGCAUACCAAUUAAAAAGUUGAAGUGAUUCAUUGAAAGCUAAUUCUUUUACUUCAAAUACCUUGCAUAAGUCUCCAUAAUUGGAUGAUGCUUCAAGAUCAAACAUUUGCUUAAUAAAAAGAUCACUCAGUAGACAUCGAUGCCUGCUAGUUACAAUGAUUUUACUUCCUGGAUGAAAAGGAAUUUGCACUCCAAUUAUUUCAGUUACUUUUUUUGAAUCAUCCACAUCAUCUAGGACAAGAAGCACACGUCUAUGGCAUAUAGUUUCUUUGAUCUUAGUGAUUCCAUCAUCUAAAUUGUAUAUUUUGUUAGCUUUCCCCUUCAAGAUAUCUGAAAUAAGUUGUCUUUGCAAUUGAACCAGACCAUUGCUUUCUUGAGUAGUCUCUCUAACAUCAGCAAGGAAACUGUAACUUUCAAAUCUUUGGAAAUUCUGAUUGUAAACAAGUUUGGCAAUGGUUGUCUUCCCAAUCCCUCCAAUUCCGCAAAUUGUUGCCAUGCCAACCUUAUUUGACCCAUCUCUCAACCACCAAUUAAUGUGUGCUGCAAGAGCAUCUAUUCCAACUAAAUAGGGAGGGACAUAUAAAAUGGUGCGAUGGAGUUUAUUUUGAACUUGUUUAAUAAUAUCUUGAAUGAAUUGUGAUUCAUAUCUACAAAUGUUAAAAUAUAUAAGUGUUAAUAUAUUCAAAAUAUAACUUAGCACUUUUCAAAAAAUAUAUAUAUAAAACUUAGCAAAUGACAUCAUGAAAAUUGAGUAAAAACCUUUUUAACUUUGUUUGUUGUUUACAUAAUUUUGAUUUUUAAUUUCAUCUUAACUCAUCUUACCUAUGUUAAAAUUUUUAAAUGUAUGUUAAAUAUUAAGGACUCUUUUUUAGAAAUCUCAUGAACUAUUUUACUUAAUAAGUUACUUUCUUCACAUUAAAAAAAAAAUGGAACUUUCUUUCUUUAUUUGUAUCUUGAAAGGUACCACUCAAAAAAAUUAGAGAUGGCAAUGAAUAUCGUCCGCUCCAAACCCAACCCAACUCAAUAUUUUCUUAUUCUAAACUUGCUUCACCUUGACACUGGGUUAUCAACUUUAAUACCCAACCUCGAACGCAAAAAACUAUAUAACCUGCAUUCGACCUCUUCUACCUCAAAAUCCUUUUUUUUAUAUUAUAUUAUUUUUAUUUUCAUGUAAUUUUUUAUUUUUAAUGUAAAUUACAUCUUAAUUACUUUUAAAUAUAUUAUAUUAUUAAGUGUUUUUUCCAAAUUUUAUUGUAAUUAUCAUAGUUUAAAUUACUAUGAAUUUUAUUAUUUUAUAGCGGAAAUAAAAUAACUCCAAAGAAACUAGCUCCCGGGUUUAGGGAUACCCGGAUCUACAAGAAUUAUCAUCUCCCAAACCAAAUCCAGCAGCCACCAUUUGGGAAAAGGCAAAACAAAGAAUAUUAGGCCCGUCUAAACAUGUCCUAAACCAACCAAAAGCAGUUAAACUUCUAUCCCUUGCAAAUAUAUUAUUAAGAUAAUAUCUCUAAUUAAUACUAAAUAAUAAAUUUAUAAAUUUAUUAAUAUAUUAUACAUAUAUCUGUAGAUAUAAAAUUAAAUAAAAUACUUUCUAUUAUACCUCAAGGUGGGCACCCUAAACCUGACCCCAACCUCGGCCUAAUUGUUUAAUUGUAAAACUCGACCCAACCUGCUUCGACCCCCAAUUUUCAAAAAAAAAAAAUAGUCCUAUCAGGUUGGGGCAAGACAAAACCCAUCAAGUACGGGUUAUUUGGCCAUUUUUAUGUUUUUCUAAUUCUUUUUGUUGGUCCCUAUUUUUAAUAUUACAGAAUUUAAGAAAAGUGUAUUGGUUUCAUUGAAAUUAUGUCUUUAUCUCUAGUCAUUAUAACUUUUUGGUCAUGUGAAAUUUAUUGUGUAAUAUAAGAAACACUAAUAGGAAUGUCAACUUAGGAUAUGAAAAAUAACAAUUUGAGAAAUUUAUAAAAAAAAAUGGGGCAAUCAUUUCAUGACCCAUGAGGCAGGUUGAGAAAUUAUUUUUCACUAGAUUGGUGCUUUUAGUUACAUUCGAUGGCCCUAUAAAUCGAAAGCAAGAUUGAAAUUCAAUGUUCAUCUUUACGAGGCUAAGGAAGAGAAGAUUUAUGCUUUGAAAUUAAACCUCAACUGGGAGUUUAACAGUCCUUUAUCAAGUCAAAGAAACAUUAAAAUAUUCAAUCACGAAGUGAAAAAACUAUCAUGAAAUUGUGGGCAUAUAUAGGAUUGCAAUUUUUAAGAAAGGAUCGAAUAGUUUCAAACUUGCUUACCUAUCUUCUAGAAGCAUGCCGCACAAAUCCGCAACUUCUCUUAAAGCAGUCCUCCAUCUUUGUACCAUGUCCAUCUCAUACUUGAAGCUCUCUUCAUGUCUAGCAAACGCUUCUGCAAAACUCCCUGUCUGCUUCUUGACUUGAGAUGGAUUCACAUCAUAGAAAAUUGGCAAAACAAUGUGUUUGGAGAAUUUCCUAUGUUCCAUUAUCUUGACAAGUUCGUUAAGACACCAUGUUGAUGAAGCAUAAUUCUUUGAAAAGACAAUUAUAGACAUUUUUUAGUCAUGCAAUGCUCUUUCAAUUUCGUCUUUUAUGUUCUCCCCUCUCUCAAUUUCAUCAUCAUCUCUAAAUGUGUGAAUUCCUGCAUGCACUAAAGCCAUGUAAAGAUGAUCCGUAAAGUUCUUACGUGUAUCUGCACCUCUAAAACUUAAGAAUACAUGAUAAGUAUAUUGAGAAAUUGAUGAAGAGGACUCCUGGACCAUUGAAACAGCCAUUGAAGAAUAACACAAAAGAAUUUGUAUUGGCUGAUGAGACACCUAAAAAAAUAUAGAACAACUCAUCAAAGGAAAGAAUUUAAUAAACAAAUUUGAAAGCCUUAUAUAUAACCAAGAUCAAAGAAUUAAAAAUAAGUAGUUAUAUAAGUUAAAGCUAAAGCUAGAGCUAGGAUUAAAGAUCAUACUUAAGCUAAGAUCAUACUUAAGCUGGUAAAUGAAUUUAGACAAGACAGCACCUUGCUAACAGCCUUUCGUUGCACUUGUACUCUCUACGAAGAGAAAAUGGAUUGUAAAACCAGAAAUGAUCAAGAAAUAGAUAACUUUUGCAUUUUUUAAGAAAUUAGACAGGAUGUGUUCUUAUCAAUUAAGAAUUGACAUGAUAAAGCCCUCUUUAAUACGUAUUUAUUUUUAUUUGUUGUCAUUUUCAGCUGACUUUUCACACCAUUGAACAAAGAAUUGGACUUAAGGCAAAACAUCAUGAUUCGUUAUCUGCAUGACUUAGACUUUGGGGUUGGGGUUGACGUAUCACAAUAUUUGACUCAGUAAAAGUGUAUGUAACUGUUAUAUUUCUGUUCUUAAAAAAAAAAAUAAUAAUUAGACUAGCAACAAUUUUAUUUUGAAAAGCAGAUUGCCAACAAUUUCAUAUAUGUUAAACAACAAUUAGGAUUUUUUUAACAAAAAUAACUUUAAAAAGUUAAGUGAGAUAUUAUUAUUAUUAUUUUUUGAUGAAGUGAUCAUAGUAAUUCUAAUUUGGAAUACAUAGAAGGAGUUGAAAAAAGUUAUCUAUAAAAAAACACUAGAUAGGCAAGAAUUUCAUAUAAGUUAAUUUUGUUAUGAACAAAUAUGUGAAUGUCCAUUAUGUUAUGACCUAAGAAGUGUAGACCAAGUCAAACAGCACAAUAAGCAAGAUAUAAGAAAUAUAAUCUGAUUUGAAUUCUUAGAUAGAAUUAGAUUACAAUUAUGAUUCAAGGGGUUGUUGGCCUAUAAAUAGAUCUCUGACUUCAUUUAUAAAUACACACUUGAAUAAGUUAUUCUUACUCCUUCUAAAUACUUUCUUUCUCUCUAAAUACUUUCUCUUAUAUUUCUCUUAUAGUUGUUAUUUUAAAAUUUAUUUCAUAACAUAUUAUCAACACGAUCAUCUCUGAUCCCUCAAUUAUUUUGUUUUCAUCAUCUUUAAGCUUCCAAAAGAUUUCAAUGAUUGGUUUUUGAUUUCUGAUUUUAGCAAAUUAGGUAAGUGUUAUUAUUAUUUUGUUUUCAUCCUCUCACAAAGGUUGUUUUUUUUUUUAUUUCUGAUUUUAGAAAAUCAAGUGACUUGAUAUCUCUUUAGUUUUUUCAUUCCCUAAAAAUCAACCUUAAUAUGAAUUUUGCUAUCAUAUAGUAUAUAUUAUAUUUCAUCUCUUGCUAUUAAUAAAAAAUCAUAAUGUCCAUUCCUUGAAGUGAAUAUGAAAAACGAGCUAUUAAUAAAAAAUUAUAAAUUUGUCUAUUCUUUGAAGUGAAUGGGACAUCAUUUAAUAAUUAAGGUUAUGAUCAUGAAUCUAUUUAUUCCUAAAAGUGAAUGCUACAUCAUUUAAUAAUUAUAAUCAUGAACAUGGAAGUGGUCAUCAUAAUAAUUUACACUAUCACUAUUUUAAUUAAGGAAAAUUUUACCACCAGAAGUGGAUGGAUAAUUUUGCCACCAAAGUGGAUGGAUAAUUUUACCACCAAAAGUGGAUGGAUACCUUAACCCACUAACCCAUGAAAAGUGGAUAACCCAUCAAAAGCAAAUAAAUACUUGUAACCCACCAAAGGUGGAUGAAUAAUGAAAAGACAAAAAUGGAAAGAAUAAAAAGAAUAUAGAAAAUGUAUUUACCAUUGUACAUACCUAUUGUACGUCUUGAAUUUUAUCAAGCAUCAAUGAAAACUAAAACAUCUUGUGAGGAUUAUGUUUGCCCACCUGAAAGAGGAAUUAAUUAUAUGAUUGGUAAUGGAAAUAUCCGUUGUUGAUUUUCUUGUUCUAAAAAGAGAAUUGAUCAUUUAAUUGGUAAUGAAAAUAUCCGAGAAUGAACUCAAUAGUAAUUGAUAUAUUAUGAAAAUGCUUUAAUAUGUUCUUAUUAUAUUUAAAUGAUAUGUUCUUUUUAUGUAUUUGAAUUAUGUAUUUAAUGUUAUUUCAUGUUAACUUGUAAAUUUCUUAUUGUAUAUAUCUUAUUUUAUUGAAGAAAAAUAUGGAUAUUUAUAUUGUUGGAUCCAAGAUCUAUGAUGUAAAUAUAUGUCUAGCAAACAUUGCUACAACGCACAUUAUAUGCAAAGACAAGAGAUAUUUUUCUCUCUUGACAAUGGAAAAAACCAUUGUCAAUACAAUAUCUGGUAAUACAAGAUUAAUUGAAGGCUUUGGAAGAGCUAAUAUUUUACUACCUUGAGGAAUACAGUUUCUAAUAGAAGAUGUAUUAUUUUCAAUUAAGUCUAAACAAGUUUAUUAUGUUUUAAAGAUAUUUGUCUGAAUGAAUAUCAUAUUGAGACAACGAAUGAAAGAGACACUUAAUACCUCUAUAUUACAUAUAUUAUCUCAAGUAGGAAGUGUGUGUUGAAAAAACAUUACUCACUUUGUUCUUCAUAUUAAACUACAUAAAUAUUAAAAUAAUUGAAACUCACAGUAAACCAGAAGUUUAUUGAUGAUUUUAAUGUUUGGCAUGACCGGUUGGACCAUCUUGGAUCAAUAAUGAUGCGAAAAUUUAUUAAAGAUUAAAAUGACAAUUCAUUGGAAAACUAAAAGAUUUUUCAAUCUAAUGACACACUCAUGUGCUGCUUGCUCUCAAAACAAAUAAAUUAUAAGGCUAUCACCAGUUAAAGUUGGGACUAAAUUCUUUAUUAUUUUGAAACAUAUUCAAGGUAAUAUAUGUGAACCCAUCCAUCCAUCAUGUGAACCAUUUAGAUAUUUUCUGGUUUUAAUCAAUGCAUUGACAAGAUGGUCACAUGUAUGCUUAUUAUCAACUCGCAAUUUGGCAUUUGCAAGAUUAUUUGCACAAAUAAUUCGUUUUGCGAGCACAUUUUUCUGAUUAUGUAUUCAAUCGUCUUGACAAUGCUGGUAAAUUUACGCCUCAAGUUUUUAGUAAAUAUUGCAUGUCAACUGGAAUAAAUGUUGAACAAUUUAUUACUCAUGUUCAUACACAAAACGGUUUAGCAAAAUUGUUUAUUAAAUGCCUCAAACUGAUUGCAAGGCCAUUACUUAUGAAAUAUAAACUCCCAAUUUCUGCUUAGAGACAUGCCAUUUUGCAUGCAGCAGCACUUGUACACAUCAGGCCAACAAGUUAUCAUAAAUUCUCCCAUAUACAAUUGGUUUAUGAUCAGGAAUCAAAUAUUUUUCAUUUAAGAAUUAUUGGAUGUGCGAUAUAUGUUCCAAUUGCUCCACCACAACGAACAAAGAUGAGCCUUCAAAGGAGAUUAGGAAUAUAUGUUGGAUACAAAUCUCCAUUUGUAAUCAAAUAUUUAGAAUUAUCAAUAGAAGAUUUAUUCAUGCCAAAGUUUGUCGAUUGUGAUUUUGAUGAAACAAUUUUUCUAAUAUUAGGGGGAGAAAAUAAGCAGCUGAAAAAGGAAAAUUUUUAAAAUGAAUUAUCAUUAUCUAGUUUUGAUCCUUGCACAAAUCAAUAUGAACUUAAAGUUCAAAAGAUAAUUCUUUUGAAAAGUAUAGUAAAUUAAUUGCCAGACAUAUUUAUUGACCUAAAGAGAAUAACUAAAUGUAUACUAGCUGCAAAUGCUCUAAUCAGAAUUGAUGUAGAACAAUCUGCUAUUGCUAAUGAGUCUAAAUCAGGCUAGAAGCGUGGAGAUCAAUCCGUUCAAAAUAUAAAAUCCUAAAAAAAAAGGAGCAAAUAUUCAACAUGGUUAGAAAGAGGAAGUAGAAACUCUAGAAGAGAUCCUUGACAUAAUUAAUAAAAUUUUAAAAGAAAUGUAGGUACCUGAAAUCAUUGAAAAUGAAGAGAUCUUAAUCAAUUAUAUCAUAACGGGAAAAGAUGGAACAAGAAUGACAUAAACAUUGACGACGUUUUUGUAUAUAAUAUAGUGCUCAAUAUUAUGAAAAAAAACGAUGAUCUUGAACUUAUAUUUAUUGAAGAAUGUAGACAAAAAAAUGAUUGACCAAUAUGGAAAGACUCAAUCAAGGUGGAAUUGAAUUCAAUUGCAAAACGUGAAGUUUUUGGAUCUGUAGUCUAUACAUCAAAUGGUGUAAAACCAAUAAGAUAUAAAUGGGUAUUUGUGCGAAUACGAAAUAAGAAAUUGAGAUUUUGAGAUAUAAAGCACAACUUGUCGCACAAGAUUUUAUCCAAAGAUCUAGUAUUGAAUAUGAAGAGAUAUAUUGUAACGACCGCUCCUCGGUCGUUACCGACAUUCGAGACCUUCGAGAGAACCCACCAAGUCCUAAACAAGCCUUAUUAGAGAUUCCUGAUAAUUGACUAUACUCGUUCAUGAAUCCAUGUUAUUGCUUUAAACAAUAUACUCUCGUGACAUGAUUUGAACAAUAGGCAUAACAAAUCAUUUUGACUUUUAAUCCAUGUGAUUAUAUGUAAAUACAUCAUAGUCUAAAAUCUCCAACUAAACAUUUAUAAUGAGACCAGUACUCAUUUACAAAAGAAAACAAAGUACAAUGACUCAACCUCUAGCAGCGGAGUGACUUGGAAUGAAAUGCUAUGAGAUGCCUUUACUUAUUUACGAUGAACCAUAAAUGUCGAUGAUUGCACACUAGGCCGAUCACUAUCUGCACAAAGGAAAUAAGGGGUUGAGUCUCACAGACUCAGUGAUCAUUGGCCCCGUGAGCAGGGAGUAGAUGGGAAACAAGCAAUAAGCAGAUCAUUUGAAUGAUAAAACCAGAAUAUAAAAUACUAAUCUUAUAAACCAAACCACAAGAAGAAUAUGUGUGCCUUGUAAAAAAUAAUAUCGUAAAAUCAUAAUACAAUGCUUUCUUUGGCAAAACAAUGCCGAAAAUAAGUGUAGCAGAAAGAGUUUCAAUCACUGGAAACAUCAUUUGCCAUCAAAAUAUGAAAUACAAUAUAAAGAUAUGCACACUCCCAAAAUGUGUGGCAUGUAAAGAAAUCAAAGUGUACAGCCACCUAAAUAAACUCAUGUUUGUCAAGUAAGCAUUAAAGGCUUUUAUUUAAACAAUGAGAGCUGUAGAGAAAAUCUUAACUCUCCACAAUGCAAGAGAGUAUGCGUUGAAAAAUCAUAAGGCUCUCGAGUAAGAAAGUAUAAUAUCAACACGUGGACCCAUUUUCACGUAAUAACAAUCCAAGAGUCUUACUGCACUAGAUUCCCAUAACCAUGGCAAUCUCCACAAUGUUCGCCAACAUCGAAGAAUCAAGCAGUAGCUACCGCGUAUAUCACUAGUGGCCUAACCACGUAUAAUAUCACAGGUCGUGGCCCCCGCUAUGCCUAACCUCCCGUUGAUGACCCAAAGGUUUUCUAGCUAGAGCUCACUCAUGCACGAGGGUCACACUUAACUGAAGUGACAGCUGGCCUACUCUCGACGCACUUGGUUUUGUCAAAACCAUUUUCAAAAAUCAAAUCGAGGUUUCCAAGUCUUUUGCUUAAAACCAUUUGAAAACAAGGUUCAAUAACCUUUCAAAUUACUUUUCACAUAAAAAGGUAUGGUGUAUUCUUUUAUACAAAGAUCAGACUAAAAUCGGUACUCAAAACUUGCAUUUUAAAUCAUUUAACAAUUGCAUUUAAACUAUGCAUAUCACACAAAAAUACAAGGCACAGAUUUUGAAUGUAAAACAGUAUAAAAGGCUUGUUUCUCGGUAUCUAAAACACUUUACGUAUAUAGCUAAUCUAUGGAUAUAUCCAAAAUAAUUUUCAAAACAACUUGUAUCCACAAUUUCCUACGAGUUCUACCAGCCCACGCUUUCCACAAUAACAGUGUAUAAAUCAUUAUAAAUCCAUUUAGAAAUCGCCUAUCGAGGCUAACAGCUCAUGCUUUCCAUAAUUGCAUUGAAUGAAAUCCAGCAAUGUUUAUAAAAUGUAUAACAUUAUAUAACUAUGAAAAUUUUUGAAAUAGGCACCCUCUACUCACCUUACGAUAGCGGGAUACUACAUCGCUAUUAGUUCGGAGGUGUAUUUAGCUAUUUUUACUUACCGAUCGCUAGUUAUUUUCUCCGGCAUGCCACCAUAGUAUACUAUAUUUACUUUUGCACUUCCUAGCAACAAUGCAAAUUCAAUAUCUUUAGUGUAAUCAUUUCUACUUUUCCUUUUCAUUCAGUCAUGAAUCUUUAUUCAACUAACUUAUAUCUUGACACAUUUUUACCAAAGUUGCCUUUACCCUUUACUUGCAUAAUUCUUUAAAUUAUAAUUACCUGCAACUUAUUUAUGACUCCAGCACCCAUAUUAACCUUUUCCAGCCAUUUUCAUUCAAAUUCGUCGUAUGUUUUCACACAUAACCCGCAUAUAUGGCAACAACAAUCAUUCUUACUUUCACUCAAUUAUUUUCAAGUUUACAUGCAUCAUUAUCUAUCUAACUUUCAAUACUUUGCUUCUCAAUCCUCCAUCCACAUGCUUCCUUUUUCAUUUCUUUCAAACAACAUGCCAUACAUACUUAACAAUUUUUCAACUACGCAACAAUAACUAUUUCUCAAGAUUUCUCAACUAUACUUAAAACAUCAUUUGUUUUUAUCUUCAUGGUUGCUUGACCAGUACAUGCACUCCACUGUUCCUUCAAAACAUUAAUCAUCAAGCUGCUAAAAUGAUUCAUACAUUAUUUCUCCAAAGAUUUAACCAACCGUGAGCUUAAAACAUAAAAAUCCUUACUUUUCCUUGCUUGAAUCACAAAACCAAGCUUUUUUCUUCCUUUCUCUCUUUUCCUUUCUCCUUUCUUUCUUUCCUUUCUCCUUUCUNCUUCUUCUUCUCCUUUCUUUCUUUCUUUUCUCCUUUCUUCCAACUGAUCUCAUCUAUUUUCUUUCCAAGAGUACCAUUUUCCUUGCAAAACAAAGCCCUUUUUUUCUUUUCAAAUGCAUGGUGAUAAGGUGAAAUGGAGUGGGAGCAUAAAGGAGAAGAAGAAAAUAUCUUUUGGGUAGAGAUAAGAACCAGCCAUGGGAUAAGGAUGAAGAGUCAAAGCUUCCUUUAGAAGCUUUGACCAAACUAAUGGCAAAAUUACCAUUUUACCUUUCAAAGUUUUCACCUUUUUUAAUUGUAUCCUCCCACAAUCUUUGAAUUCCAAUUUCUUUUUAUUUUUCUUCCUUAACACUUGUAUCAAUAAAAUAUCAAGUUUAUGCUUCAACGCGGUAUCACCGUAAUAUUUAAAUGUUUACUUACCCGCUCUAGUUCUGUUUAAUUAAGAUACGCAGGCACAAUUAUCGUUGUUUUUCUUCAAAACUCUUUCUUAUUUCUUCUUCCCUACUUAAAUUAGUCAUAUAAUCCUAUUUCAUGACUAAUUUCGAUAAUUAGUAAAAUAUUAAUAUUUUAAUAUCAUUUUAUUAUAAAAUUUUUCAUUGACCUUUUAGGGCUCCAAAACAUCUUACUUUGCCCCGAUUCACUUUCGAAUCACCUUUUAACUCACUAAUUAACCUUAGUUGGCCUUUGAUAAGCUUUAUUAGCCACCAUAUCAAAGUACGAGGUGUUACAUACAUUCUCCGUGGUUGAUGCAAUUACAAUUUUAUAAUAACUAGUCUGGCAAUAUACGAGAAGAUUGAAACGCAUCUAAUGAAUGUGGCUACAUCCUAUUUAUAUGGCUUAUUUGAUAUCGAUAUCUAUAAGAACUAUCUUGAAGGAUUUAAGUUGCCUAAAGUACAAAAUUUGAAUUCUCAUGAAAUUUAUUUGAUCAAAUUAAAUAAAUCUUUAUAUAGAUUAAAACAAUUCGGACGCAUGUAGUAGAAUCGCCUUAGUAAAUAUUUGUUGAAAAAAGGCUAUAAAAAUGAUCCUAUAUACCCAUGUGUUUUUAUAAAAAGAUUUGGAUCUGAAUUUGUGAUAAUUGCUGUUUAUGUUGAUGAUCUAAACAUUAUUGGAACUCCUGAAGAGUUAUCAAAAGCCAUGGAUUACUUAAAGAGAGAAUUUGGGAUGAAAGACUUUGGAAAAACAAAAUUUUAUUUGGGUCUUCAAAUUGAAUACUUGACAAAUGAAAUUUUUAUCUAUCAAUUUAAUUAUAUAGCAAAAGUGCUAAAACAAUUUUAUAUGGAUAAAACACAUCUAUUGAGUUCACCAAUAGUUAUAAGAUCACUAGAUGUGAAAAAAGACACUUUCUGACCUCGUGAGGAUAAUAAAGAACUUCUUUGUCCUAAAGUACCGUAUCUUAAUGUAAUUAAAGCACUAAUGUAUCUUGCUAGGAAUACACGACUUGAUAUAUCAUUUGUUGUAAAUUUAUUAGCAAGAUAUAGUUCUUCUUCAAUUUGAAGACAUUGGAAUGGAAUUAAACAUAUACUUCGAUAUCUCUGAGGAAAAAUGGACAUGGGCUUAUAUUACUUAAAUGUAUCAAAAUCAAACUUAAUUGGUUAUACAAAUGCAGAAUAUUCAUCUAAUCCACACAGCUUUAUCUCAGAUAGGUUACUUAUUCAUAUGUGGAGGUAUGACUAUUUCAUAGCGUUCUAUAAAACAAACUAUAUUUGUUACUUCUUCUAACCACGCAGAAAUUUUAACAAUUCAUGAGGCAAGUUGUGAAUGUGUUUGAUUAAGAACUACAACUCAACAUAUUUGAGGACCAUGUGGCUUGUCAAUCAAGAAAGAAGUUUCAAUAAUGUUAAUAAAGAUAAUACUACUUGCAUAGCACAGUUAAAGGAAGCAUACAUUAAAAGUGAUCAAACAAAACAUAUGUCUCCAAAAUUCUUCUUCACUCAUGAUCUCCAAGAAAAAGGUGAUAUUAGUGUUCAACAAAUUCAUUCAAGUGACAAUCUAACAGAUUUGUUUACUAAAGCUCUUCCUAUUGCAACAUUCGAAAAGAUAGUACAAAAUAUCGGAAUGCGUCAUUUUAAAGAUAUUAAAUAAUGCAACCAUUAAGGGCAGUAAAAUAUGCACUGUACUCUUUUCCUUCAUCAAGGUUUUUCCCACUAGGUUUUUUUUUAUAAGGUUUUUAAUGAGGCAGUGUUUCAAAAAUGUAUUUUUGAAAAGAAUUAUGUAUUCUUUUUCCUUCACUCAGAUUUUUUCCCAUGAGGUUUUUUCCUUGUAAAGUUUUAACAAGGCAUAUUCUUAAUACAAUGGACAUUCAAAGAGGAGUGUUAUAACAAAUAUGUAAAUAUCCAUUAUGUUAUGACCCAAGAAGUGCAAACCAAGUCAAACAACCCAACAGACAAUAUAUAAGAAAUGUAAUCUGAUUUAAAUUCUUAGAUAGAAUUAGAUUAGAAUUAUGAUUCAAGAGGUUGUUGGCCUAUAAAUAGACCAUUUACUUCAUUUGUAAAUAUACACUUGAAUAAGAUCUUCUUACUCCCUCUAAAUACUUUCUCUUAUAUUUCUCUUAUAGUUGUUCUCUUAAGAUUUAUUUCAUAACAAAUUUUUUUUCUAAUUAGCAAAGAUAUUAUAGAUGAAAAAUAGAGUCACCCAAGGAGUGGAUUCUAUAACAAAGAAAAUUUAGAACAACCAAACAAAAUAAGAAAAAUUGCCCAGGACAUAGAGGCAACAAAGCACAAAUCUAGAAUAAAAAGAAAUAAAACAAAGAAAACAAGAAAGGACCAUGAAAACAGAAAGCAGAAACAAAAUCCCAGCCACUAAACAACCAAAAUUGCAACAGAAAAGACCUGCAGGAAAGUAAGAGAAAUGUAGAAAAUUCAACAACAAGAACACAAGAAUUAGCCAAAAACCUGGAAAGGUUAGAAGUUCAAUCCACAGCCAAUUUAGCUAAUCAAUCCACGAGAUGAUUUGCCUCUCUCAAAGUGUGGAUGACAAACCAGCACCUACAUUUUUUCUUCAAGUUAUUAAUUUGGUUCAAAAUUCCCUUGAAGCGCCAAGGAAUUGAGGAAGGAUGAUUAACCCGUUUAACAGUAUUAGAUGAGUCUGAUUCAAUAAUGAAAGAAUUAAUAGCAAUACAGGAAGAAGCAACAAAAAGAUAGAAUGCUUUUUUAACGCCUAAGAUCUUAGCCAUAUUUGAGUCAUAGUUCCCCAGUGGUUUUGAAAAAAGAAUUUUAGCACAGCCAUUAUGAUCCUGUAAUGCACCCCCAAUACCAUAUGGCCCAUGACAGCCACGCGCUACUCCAUCAAUGUUAAAUUUCAAGGAACUGUUGGGUGGUUCAACCCACACGCAAUUAUCCUUGGACUUUUUCUUAGAAGAGAGAGCUUUAAUACCAAUUGAUUCUCUAACCAUGUGCAUCACCGAGGAAUUGCAUUGGUGCCAUUUAGCCUUGACCCACCAUCCAAUUCUUAACGAGAUAACAUAAAAAAUAUCAUCAGUGUCCCAUAGCUUCCUAUUGAAUAUCAAAUUGUUUCUAUGUAUCCAGAUCAUCCAUAAGAUGGCUAAAAAAGCCAUCCUCUAAACAAGGAGUCGCUCAUUAUCAAAGAAUAGUCCAUUCCAAAGGAAAAGAAAUGUCCCAUAUUACCAGGGGCAACCCAAGAAAUAUCCCAUGAAUUAAUCCACAAAGCCCAAAACUGCCAAACAUCAUGACAUUUAAUGAAAAGAUGUUCCACCGAUUCAACAUCUAAAUUGAAAGUAGGGCAAAGAGCAACAUUUCUAUCAAUCAAACCUCUUUGCAGAAGCUCACUUUUAACGGCAAUAUGCCUUUUUCAUAACCUGCCAACAAAAAACUUCACAUUUGGAAGUAGCAAGAUUAAACCAAAUAAGAUUCCAAAAAUUGUUACUACCAUCAGUUUCAUAAAAAAUCCCCAUGGCAGCUUUAUAGAAACUGCUGGAAGAAUAAAACCCUUUAACAUUCCCUUUCCAAAUAAUCUUAUCAAAUUCAUCUUUAUUAAGAAAAUAGUUGUUGCUACUAAAAAAAAAUAACUGCUGAUAGCAUCCAUAAGGGCUUGCCAUUGGUCCUUCUCAACAACAGAAUAGCAAAAUCUAGAAUUUUUUUUAUUCUUACAAAGAUUAAGAGAAAAAAAUCUAAAAUUCAAAAAUGCAUUCAUAUACUAUUUAAAAUUUUUCUCUCUUCUUCACCAAAAAGGAUUUUAAUGUCAAUUACACCGUUUUCUCUUUUUUCUUUUUUUGUGAGAAUUGAAGCAUCAUGGUCUGAUUGCUUACUAAAUCAAUAAAAAUCUAAUACUAUUGCUAAUAUACAAGUUUGAGAAUUGUUCUGUUUCUUUAUUGAUUUUUUUUAUUUUAACAUCUGAAAUCGUAUAUAAACUUAAAGCCUUCUGUUAGUUUAUUAAGUAAUUGAAGAUGGCAUGAAUACUCUUAAUGGUAAUUUUAACAAAAAUUAGAGCUUAUAUAAUUUAUUUUGUUAAAUAGUUUACCAAAUAGCUUUAACUUAAUUUUAAAAACUAUUAUUUUUCAUAAGAGCUUCAUAAUAGCUUUUACGUUAAAAGAAGCUAGACAAAACAAGCUAUUACUAUGAUUUUGUUUUAAAUCUUUACUUUUAUAUUUAUAAUAAUUUUUUGGGAUAAAAACUCGAAAGUAAGAAUCAAAGAAAAAAAAUCCAAUCUCAAACAAGACUCUUGCCUUUUUUUCUCAAUAGUCCAAUUAUUUUAGACCACUUAAUUUGCUCUCUUUGAUUUUUUGGGUCUGUACAUGGGUAAAAUCUAAAAGUCUCUGAAAACACUUCAAAAUGACACUUUGAUCCCUCCUGUUUUGAAAAUGAUGUUUUCUAUCAUUAACUGUUAACAUCGUUAAUUAACCGUGAAAAAAAAAUUAUACCUAAUGCUACAUAAAUAUUUUAUAACACAAAUGCCUUCUUAAAAAAAAUCUGCUCAUGUUCUCUUCUAAGACUUAAUAAAAUCCAUUUUAAAACUUAAUAAAAUUUUAGAACGAAAUUUGAGAAUGUAGUCGUUUGUCUUAUUUUGAUACUUAAUAAAAUUCAAUAUUUGAUAAAGAAGAAAAAAACUUAAAACAUUUGAUAUAUAAUAAUUAAGUAUAAUCUUUUUACGUCACCCUAAACCCUAUUCUCAAAAAACAAAUUUUAGGCAAAAAAUUUUCAACAAAAUUAGUAAGCAUGAGUAAGAAAUUAAUCUUUUGACCUGACACCAUCAAAUUUAAAAUAUCUAUCAUUAAACAAAAGAUUUACUUUUAAUACAUUUUUUUCAAUGAAAAGAAAAAUUUUCAAACUAUUGAAGUAAUAAAAAGUUUGAUGACUCACUUCAAAAAAAAAAGGUUUGAUGACAAUAAAUUUUACUUCAAAAAAGAAAUUUAUGGUUUUGCAAGGUAGAUACAGCUUUAAAUUUCCAAGCUUCCAAAUCAAAAUUUUUUAGCUUUUUUUUUAUUAAGCUUUUUGAGAGAAAAAUGAAUAGUUUUUUUUAAAAAAAAUAUGCUUAAAUUAAAAAAAUAAUAUAAACAGAUUUAUGUUUUAAAUUUUUAUGUAUUAGAUCUAAUUUUUUUAACUAUUAACUAUCAGUGUUAAGAGUUAAGAUUAAAAACAUCAUUUUGAAACAAGAAGGAUCAAAAUACAUUCUUUUGAAAUGUUUUUGAAAGAAUUUUUUGAAUUUUACCCUAUAAAUAUGACUGGACCCUCGAUGAAUCCAAUCAUGGUGACUCUUUUUCCAACUUGGACGUGAGUUGACAUCCAAAAUCUCUUGCCGGUCAUUUUACGAAAUCAAUUUAUGCGGAAAGGUCAAUUCAAGCACAUGCAUUUUCAACACAAAUAUAUUUGCCAGUCAAUCACUCCAAAGACCACAACAAACCGAAGAAGAAAAAUUCAUUUUUGGUCAUGUCUACCUUUUUCAAUUCAUACUAGUAUGACUCUUUAUCUGUUUCCAAUUAUAUCAGCUAUGCUUUUUUAACAUUUAUUUUUUCAUUUUUUUUCUUUUCUUCUUUUUAUCAUUAUUGAACUUAAAUUGAUAAUAUUUUAUUUGAUGUUUAAAAAAUUAAAUCGUUGAAAAUUUUAAUUUUCAAUGACUUUAAAUUUUUCAAUAGUUUAUCAAAAAAUAUUUUUUUCAUAUUGCUACUAUUGCUUAAAAAGUACAUUUGGCAAUGCAUUAAAAAGUUCAAAUUUUAAAUUUAUAAAUUAAAAAAUUGCAUGCAUAAUUUUAGUUUUAUAUAAGACAAUUACAUUGAAUCUAUGGUUUUAUUUGUCACGUUUAAUGAGUUAUUGUUUUUAAUCCAUAUAAUAUAAUUGUCUGAUGAAAGCAAUGAGGUCCCUUGAUCCUCCUGUGCCGUUCAGUUCAGCAAUGUCGACCGUUCCAACAUCACUGUCUUGCUGCUGUGGUCGCUCUGGCCCGCCGUUAGUCUAAUCUCCUGACGAGUGAGUUGACAUCCAAAGCAUUUCGGCCGUCCGUCCAUUUCUGGAAAUCAAUUUAUGGUAGAAGGUCAAUUCAGGCAAAUGCAUUUCCACUCCAAAUAUAUUUGCGGGUCAAUCCCUCCACAGCCACACCAAUUUAUACGUCAGAAAAAAAAAAUUCAACAAAAAUUCAUUUUUGGUCAAUUCAUACCAAUUAUACUUUUUUAUUAUUUAUUUUUUCUAUUUUCUUUGUCUUUUCUUGCUUUUAUCAUUUUUUAACUUAAAUUGAUAAUAUUUUGUUUGAUGUUUCAAUUCCAAAAUUAUCUUUUGCCUCUCCCUUCUCUUUCUUUCUUUUGCCCUUUUCUUUCAUCUUCAUUGUAUAUGUUAUUUGAAUUCAUGCCUAACAUCGUUAUAAUUUUUAUUAUAGUGAUUUAUUUAUUUUCUAUAAUUCCUUUUGCUUUCCUUCUUUUUAUUAUUCUUUAUUAAAUUUAUAAUUUUCUAUUGAUUUAAAUUAAUUUAAUAACAAAAUAUACUUUUACCUCAACAAUUAUAUUUUUCUCUCCUUUUUAUUAUUGCCUAUAUAAAUUUAUGAUUAUUAAUGUAUUAAUUUAAAUUAAUUCAAUAAUAAAAAUAUUUUUACCUCAAUAAUGAUAAUGAGACGUAUAAAAUACAUCCAAAAUCAACCCAACUAAAAUAACUCAACACUUUCUUCUAAAAAAAAAACACUCAACAACUUUAAAUUUUUUUAACCCAACCAGAAAGCCCCAAACAUAUUAAAUCCAAAUUUAAAAAAAGUGUAGAAACCCACCCAAACAAAACCCAAUACACUGAAUUUAAAAACCCAGACCCAAAAAACCAAGACCAACCCAAUUUCCUUCCACCACCCUCCGAACAAACUGUUGAAGGUCAAUACCAAAUCCCUCACAUGGCAGUCCCUAAAUCCCCUGCACUACAACAAAAUUUUCGGCCACUGAGCAUAAAACUUCUGGAGCUACUCUACUAGCUAUCAAUUUCUCUUCACAAUCUCAAACAGAAAUUUGAUUAAUAAGUGAAUGAUUUUUUGGUUUAAGCUCACUUAUUUAGAAUCGAAUGAGAAUCAUCUUUACCUUAUCGAAAUUCUAAUAGCUAUUUGUUUAGAAUGUGAAGCUAUCAGAGCUUUAAUGCUAUAUUGCAGUCCUUCCAAUAGUAGUUACUAUUCUAGGAAUCAUUUUUUAGGACGCAUCUUGGUAUAGACAAAUCUCCCCAUACCGAUGUUGCUCUUGUUGGUACCCAUUCCAAGCCAUCAAACCAGAAAUCAUGAGCUAAAUUUUGUAAGAAUUAUCACUAAAAACGUCCCAACUUUUCUGAUUGCCCUACGAUGUCAUAAGGUUGGGCAUAUUAUUGAGAAUUGUCACCUGUGUUCACCUAAAUCAAAAAGUGAUACCUUUAAAGGGAGAUUUCUUAAUAUCUAGAUCUUUAUCCAUUGUCACUCAUACAUUUAAGGGCAUCGAUAUGGAGACUUUAUUAAAAUAAAUUAUUUUUUUUGAGCUGCUUUUUUUCAUACUACUUUCUCUUUUACUCUAGGUGAUUUAUUUUCGCUCCUUGAUUAUACUUGUUGUAAUCAUAUAACUCUUAAUUCUUCUAUCUUACCCACUAUAAUAUCCUCUUUAUCUUUCAUUUCUAUCUAUAUUAUCAAUGAUAUAAAAAUGAAUAUCACUCACAUUAUACAUCUAUUACAUACUUAAAAAAGACGUUUCAAAAGAACUUUCUCAUUUUACCAUGUGUUAAUUUAAAAAAAAAAUCACAUUUUUAUGUUGGGAUUUUUAAAUUUCUACCAAAAUUUGCAAAUUAAAAAACCACGACCCCAUGAUGAGUCAAACUAAAUCAUUUUUUGCCCAUAAAGGAGUUUACAAAAAUUUAAAAAAAAUAGUUUACCUCAGCAUGAUGGAGCCACAUUCUAAUUUUUCUUAAUCUUAAUCUUCCAUAUACCUAUUGUGUACUUUAGCAUUAAAUCUUAUUUCUAUGUGUCACAACCCGGAACUCCCAUCUGGCCCGUGACAACCGCCGCGACGUCUCGAUAGACACUCAUUAUCCCGAAUGCCGAUCGAAACCUCGCAAGACUUAGCAUUAGCUUCCGCAUCUUCCCGGUGAGCGACAGUUAUUUAAUCUCGCAUUUCAAGAAAUCAUAAGUCGUUUUCAAAUCAAAACAGUAAAAUAUUAUUUUCUGACUCACAGGAGCAUUUUCAUUAUUUUUCUUCAAAAAUAUCGAAACCCGUCAAAAUCAUGGUGUAAAAGAUAAAUAUGUUCAUACAUACUUUAAAUCAGAUAACUGAAGUAUGAAAUUAUUUUUACAGUGACACGUGGGCUCCCAACUGACCAAUAAGUUGUAGAGCUACGAACCCUUACUUUCUAGAAUGCAAGUCCAAGAUUAAUUAUCGUCUUAAUCAACUAUCAACAAAUUGUCCUGAGCCUGAAAAAUGGAUAGGAAGAGGGGUGAGAUUAUGAUUAUAUAAUCCCAGUGAGUAAACAAUUACCAUCAAAAACAUCUAAAGCCGAGUAGAUGGAGACAAUAUAAAAAUGUUAUAUCUCAAUAAUGUUCAUAAUGCAAAAAUCGUUUCAAUCUAUACCAAACAAUUUCUUUUCAUCAAAAUUUCCCUGGCUUAUGAGUUUCUUAAACUUGGCCCCUGCCAAAAUCAUUCUCGCGGGUACCUUCGUCAAGGUAUCUCACUGAGACCGCCAAGGCUGUUAAAUGUCUCAUACCCAUAAACAUAUUUUCGCAUCUGACAGACAGCCGUUCCUUGGCGUUAGCUGAGUCUCACUCUCACGUGGUGGUCCGAACAUGAGGUGCACUCAAAUCUUACCUCAGGAGAUACUUCAUCCAACAUCUCCCCCCGGAGGUAGUUAUAUAAUUGGGUUACCGUACCCCUUUCAUAAGCAGUCUACGGAAACCCCCACCAUUGCAGUGACCGUUUAAUAUACCAUCAGAUCCAUAAAAUUUCCAGUAGCAUAAUAUGGCGAAUAAAAUUUAAUCCAGUCUACCGAGACCAACCCCAAAAUUGUUCAUAUAUUUCAUGUCAAUCCCAAAAAUUUAGCCAUCAUGCUACCAUAGUGUCAUAAGCCACAAUUUCAAUAACAUAUAAAAUCAUAAAUUUCAACACAGUCUCCAUAUACUCAAUUUUCCCAAAACAAUAUUAGAUUUCAAAACCAGUAAAAAUCUCAUUUUUAUUUAAAAAAACAUUUUAAUUGGAAAACAUAAUAUUUUAUAAUUUAAACUCACCAUUUAAUAAAAGCAUCAAACAAGUAUAAUUACUCUGGAUAUUUAAGACGAUAAAAUGCCCACUCACAGUAUUAGGAGUAGAAAUACUCAUAUUUUCAGUCCACGGGUACAGUCCUUUACCCGUAUUCAAUGGCUCACCACCUAGCCAUAAUCCAUGACACAUAUUUCAAAUAAAUUGUGUCUAACAGUCAUAAGCUAUUUCAGGCUCGAUAUAUAUGCAUGAUAUGAAAUGAAAAAUGCAUGGGUAGCCAUCUAGACCCGGUAUUGACCUAAGUCGAUUUUUCAUCUGAUAAAUUGGCCAAUGCGUCCAAUUUCACUCCAACUUGCUCCAUUUUUUUUUCAAUCCCUCAACUCACCAAACACAACUAAUUAACACACAAUUAAACAAAAUUUAUCUUCACUUUUCUUCUUGGAACUUUCAGCUAACAAUGGUACACUAACUCCGUGAUUUUUUCUACUUAAUUUUCUCUCCAUAAUUCAUUAAUUCCUACACCAAAAACUAUUAUUUCUUAAUCAAAUCACCUAGAAUAACAUCCCAUUCUUCCUCAUUAUUCACUUAGAGAAUUCNUGUUCACCUAAAUAAAAAAAAUGAUACCUUUAAACUCAAGGGAGAUUUCUCAAUAUUUAGAUCUUUAUCCAUUGCCACUCCUGCAUUUAAGGACACUGAUAUCGAGACUUUAUUAAUAUAAAUUAUCUUUUCGAGUUCUUCUUUUCAUACUACCUUCUCUUUUACUCUAGAUGAUUCAUUUUCGCUCCUUGAUUAUACUUGUUGUAAUCAUAUGACUCUUAAUCUUUCUAUCUUAUCCACUAUAAUAUCCUUUUUAUCUAUACUGUCAACGAUACAAAAAUGAACAUCACUCACAUUAUACAUCCAUUACAUACUUAAAAAAAAAAGCUUUAAAAAGACGACUUCAUUUGGCCAUGUGCUAAUCUAAAAAAAAUCACGUUUUUAAAUUGCUAUCAUAAUUUGCAAAGAAAAAAAUCAUGACCCAUGAUAGGUCAAAUUAAAAUAUUUUUUGCUCAUAAACGCGUUUACUAAAAUCUAAAAAAAAAACAGUUUACCUCAACAUGAUGGAGCCACAUUCUAAUUUUUCUUAAUCUUAAUCUUCCAUAUACCUAUUGUGUACUUUAGCAUUAAAUCUUAUUUCUAUGAGUCAAUUAUACGAUUGAGGCUUCACUAUUCUCUUAUCUUUCUCCUGGCUGUUAGGUACAAGACCACAAAUGGGGACAAUUCUUGAGACACCCGCAAGGUGGAAAGAUUGUUUGAAACAUGUGUCCGUUUCCACUAUAUUUAGUUCUUCUUCGUAUCAAUGGCAUCUUUUUCUAUGUCAGGCUUUAGCAAGUAAUUAUUACAUCCUCUAUUUUAUCGUGCGUUGUUAGGACAACCAGCUUUUUCAUUUAAUAAUAGCUGUUUCUGAUUUUCGUUUUGAGAUUGUUGAUUUUGAUAUUUGGGGACGUUUUCCUAUUUCAACUGUAAGACAUUUGUGUAAUUUUAUUCCCAGCAAACCAAUUUUCUUCGGAAGUUUCCUAAGAAAGUAAGUGGCUUUAAGCAUCAACUUCUCAAGACUUGAGAGUCUUUAAAAGCAAUGGUUUUGAUAAGACAUGUGAGUGAUUGAUAUUAAGGAUCUUCAAAUUUGGAAUUUGAAAUUAAAUAACAUAAAAAUAUUUUUAUUAAAUAAAAAUGUGAAAUAAAUCACAUCUUUAAAAUACUUAAUUGUUAUAUGAUUGAUAAAAUCAGAUAUGGAUUUUUAAAUAAAAAGCAUACUGAUCAAUUUCUUGCCAAAAUAAUAUCAACUAUUAAUUUCAUCACGUUAUACAAUAUAAAUAUAUAAUUAAUAUUAAUUAAUCAUGAUAACUUAAAUUUUAGUAUAUUUUAUUUUUACAUGAUAAAAUAUAAUAUGCUUAUAUAUUGUUAUUUAAAUAGUUUAUAAUAAUGUUAUUCAAAAUUAAUUUGAUAUUUUUAUUUUUAUAAUUUCAAAAAAGAAAGAAAUGAAAAUAGCCAAUGUAUCACGUAAUAUCUAAUUGAAUAAAAUAAAAUAAGAUUAAUAAUACAUUUGAAAUAUUUACUUCAUAUGUAGUUUCAUUAUCUUAUAAGAAGUAAUAGGAUGCAUGAAACUAUGUUUAUACUUAAUUUCAUCCUUCUUUUAUUAAAUAUAAGUUUUAGAGAUAAGGAUAUAUAUAUAUAAGGUUAGCCAGCUUUGGUUAAUUUUUUUAUAAUUAGGGGAGAAGAGAUUUGAACCUUACUCUUUAGUUAGUUCCAGUUAUUUAAGUAUGACUAAUGAGUCAUUUACAAAAGGGUGAUAAACUAAAACUAUUUAGAAUUUGUUACAAUUUUUAUUGAAUAAUUAACUAUAUUAAUUGAUAUAACAAAUAUACAAAAAGGUUAAACUAAUUCUUAUCAAUUUCACCUAUCAGUAUUUCUUUCUUUCUUUUUCUUAUCAUCUCAUCAGUUUCAGGUCAAUUUGUUUGGUUUGGACAUGUAGAGUCCGUUUGAUAACAGAAAAAUGACUUAAUGGAAGAAAAAUUUUUUUGUGUAAAAUAUUUAAUAGGAAAAUUUAAUAUUUUGUAUUGUUAGAUAAACUGUCGAAAAUAUUUUUCGUUAUUUAGAUCAUUUUAUGAAAAAUAUUUUUCAUCAUGGUGGAGUUAUUUAGAUUUUAAAAUAAUAAAUAGAAGUUUAUUACAAAACAAUAUUGAUAUUUGAUUUUCACUUAUUUGGGAUCAAAAUUAAGAAUGGAAAUGAAAAUAGACAAAAUCAAUAAUGAUAUUUCUCAAAGCAUUUAACUACAUAUCUGUAAUAAAAAUAAUCUCUAAUUUUCAAAAAAAUUUCCAUCUUAUCACUUUUUUAUCACAACUAUAAAAAUAUAAAUGUUCAUCAAUUGUAUAAGAUAUCCAAAACCUAUACUUAUAAAUAUGUAUUCAUUAAAUGAAGAUCAUUGAAAUAUUUUUUAUUAUAAUUAUUAGUAAGAUUUAAACGUAUUAUAAAUGUGUAUUCAUCAAAUGAUGAUCAUUGAAAUAUUUUUUAUUAUAAUUAUUAGUAAGAUUUAUUCCAUUUAUAAAUAAAAAAUUUAAUUAUAGGUUUCAUUAAAAAAUAUUUUUUAAAUUUUAAUAGCAUUGUAUAAUUUAAAUAUUAAUAUUUUAAAUCAAUUUUUUAAAAUUAAAUAUUUUUAUUUUUAUUUUUUUAAUAUUUUAAGUUAAAUAUUAAUAUUCAUCACACUUAUACUUAUAAACUUAGUAUAAAAGUGUUUUGGUUGUUCUCUGAAAAAUGUUUUACGCCCUUGAAAGGCGUAAGACAUUUUUCAUGAUUAACCCUGUUAACUUGUAAAAUGUUUUACAUUUGGAAUUAAUUUUUCGUUUUUCAAACAAAUAUAAGUCCUAAAAACGUUUUUCAAAAAAGAUUUUACUACAAACAAAACAGACCUGUAAUAUCAAACUCGCCAACGAAAGAGAAAUGUAAAAACUCUUGAGAAGUUCAAAGGGAAAGUGAACAUUUUGUUUUGCCUAAUAUGAUUAUCAAAAAUAUAUUUGAAAGACAAAGAAAGCCAAACACAUAAUAAUAAUGUGCAUUUUAUAAGGUGUCCUUUCAAGAUUUCUCAUCAUAUAAGUUAAAAGAGCAUCAAUUUUUUUUCUUUUUUUGAAUUAAAAGAGAAUUACCUAUUUAUACAUGGUAGUCAAAUUAGUAGUAUUAUUAUUCAGAUUCUUAUUAAAGCUUGUCCUUUUCUUCAACUACAUUGAAAGCAAUGUGUCCAUUAAUAAUUCAACUACAUUGGAAGCAAUGUGUCCUUUUCUUAUUAAUAAUUCAACUACAUUGAAAGCAAUGUGUCUUUUUCUGAUUAAUACGUCUUAUUAUCUCAGUACCAACCAAUCACCCGUGCAGCUACUAAACAAUCCUAAUUCUAAUGAGCGGAACAUGGCCGAGAGAAAUCUAAGUCAAUACAUUAGCUCACCACAAAUUCAUCAAAACAAGCAGACUCCUCCAACCCACAAUUCAUUUCAUUUUUCUUUGUUCAUCAAUCAAACAUUUGAUCACUAAAUCAUGGGAAAUUUGUGCUCAAUCUCAAUCUCAACGGAGGAUACAAUCUCUCGUUGUUGGACAUGCAAGUUACACAUGUAAGCUUGAAGAUAACCUCAACGCUCUCAGUGUGGAAUUGGCUAAACUGAAUGCGCGAAGGGAUGACAUGAAGCGGAAGCUAGAUAUAUAACUCUUAUCCGCUAUCUUAUCAUAUAACUCUUAAUCCUUCUAUCUUAUCCGCUAUAAUAUCCUCUUUAUCUUUCUUUUCUAUCCAUACUAUCAUUGAUACAAAAAUAAAUAUUACUCACAUUAUACAUCUAUUACAUACUUAAAAGAAAACUCUAAAAAGACUUUCUCAUUUUGCCACGUGCUAACUUAAAAAAAAUCACAUUUUUAAGUUGGGACUUUUAGAUUUCUAUCAAAAUUUGCAAAGGAAAAAACUACAGCCCAUAAGUGAGUAAGAUUAAAAUAUCUUUUGUCCAUGAGCGAGUUUACUAAAAUUUAAAAGAAAAUAAUUUACCCCAACAUGAUGGAGGCCACAUUCUAGUUUUUCUUAAUCUUAAUCUUCCAUAUACCUAGUGUGUACUUUAGCAUUAAAUCUUAUUUCUAUGAGUCAAUUAUAUGAUUGAGGUUUCACUAUACUCUUGUCUUCAUCUGGUUGUUAGGUACAAGACCACCAACGGGGAAAAUUCUUGGGACACCCGCAAGGUGGAAAGAUUGUUUGAGCUUGUCUUCUUCCACCUCCAUAUGCAAUAUGUGUCCGUGGCCUCUAUAUUUAGCUCUUCUUUGUAUCAGUGGUAUCUUUUUCUAUGCCAUGCUUUAGCAAGUAAUUAUUAUAUCCUUUAUUUUAUCGUGGGUUGUUAGGACAACCAGCUUUUACAUUUAAUAAUAGUACUUCUAUGUCUGAUUUUCGUUUUGAGAUUGUUCAUUUUGACAUUUGGAGACCUUUCCCUAUUUCACCUGUAAGACAUUCGUGUAAUUUUACUCCCAGCAAACCAAUUUUCUUUGGAAGUUUUCUAUGGCUUUUCUCGAUCUUUGAGGCUUAAGAAAGAAAGUGUCUUUAGCUCACCGAUUGAUUGAUCAACCUUAAAUCAAUCUUAAAGCAUCAACUUCUCAAGACUUGGGAGUCCUGUAAAGAAAUGGUUUUGAUAAGGCAUGUGAGUGAUUGAGAUUAAGGAUCUUCAAAUUUGAAAUUUGUAUGAAAGGGAAAAAAACUGUUUUAAUGUGUUAUUGCUUCAGAAAAAAAGGAAAAAGAAAUUAGGAAGGGGAAGGAAAAAGGAAGUUUCCACGAAAGGAGAGGAGGAAUAAAGGGGGAGACCAGAAAGGGAGGAGAAGAGAGAAGGGGCAAUUCGAUGGGCGCUGGCAGAGGCCGCAUUGGCAUGGCCCUACUCACCGGCCUACGUAAGGGUGUUGAUUUGGCUGUUGCUAGCCAAUCGGCCAAGGAGUAGAGGAAAAAAAUAAAAUAACAUAAAAAUAUUUUUAUUAAAUAAAAAUAUGGCAUAAAAUAUAGUUAAUUAAAAUAAAUAUAUAACUAAAUCACAUAUUUAAAAUACUUAAUUGUUAUAUGAUUGAGAAAAUCAGGUAUGGACUUUUAAAUAAAAAGCAUACUGAUCAACUUAAUUUCUUGCCAAAAUAAUAUCAACCAUUAAUUUCAUAACGGUAAACAAUAUAAAUAUAUAAUUAUUAUUAAUUAAUCAAGAUAACUUCAAUUUUAGUAUAUUUUAUUUUUAUAUGAUAAAAUAUAAUAUGCUUAUAUAUGUUUAUUUAAAUAGUUUAUAAUAAUUUUAUUCAAAACUAAUUUGAUAUUGUUAUUUUUAUAAUUUCAAAAAAGAAAGAAAUGAAAAUAGCAAAUGUAUCUGUUCCCCAAAAAAAAAAGAAAAUAGCAAAUGUAUAACGUAAUAUCUGAUUGAAUAAAAUAAAAUAAGAUUAAAUAAUAAAUUUGAAAUAUUUACUUUAUAUGUAGUUUCAUUAUCUUAUAAGAAGUGAUGGGAUGCAUGAAAACUAUGUUUAUACUUAAUUUCAUCCUUCUUUUAUUAAAUAUAAGUUUUAGAGAUAAGGAUAUAUAUAUAUAUAUAUGGUUAGUCAGUUCCAGUUAUUUAACUAUGACUAAUGAGUCAUUUACAAAAGGGUGAUAAACUAAAACUAUUUAGAAUUUGUUACAAUUUUUAUUGCAUAAUUAACUAUAUUAAUUGAUAUAACAAAUAUACAAAAAGGUUACACUAAUUCUUAUCAAUUUCACCUAUCAAUAUUUCUUUCUUUCUUUGUCUUACCGUCUCAUCACUUUCAGGUCAAUUUGUUUUGUUUGGAUAUGUAAAGUCUGUUUGGUAAUCGAAAAAUGACUUAUUGGAGGAAAAUUUUUUCUGUGUAAAAUAUUUUAUAGGAAAAUUUAAUGUUUUUUGUUGUUUGGAUAAAUUGUAGAAAACAUUUUUUAUUGUUUGGAUCAUGUUAUGAAAAAUAUUUUUAUCAUGAUGGAGUUAUUUAGGUAUUAAAAUAAUAAAUAGGAGUUGAUUACAAAACAAUAUUGAUAUUUGAUUUUCACUUAUUUGGGAUCAAAAUUAAGAAUAGAAAUGAAAAUAAAAAUGGACAAAAUCAAUAAUGAAAAUAAUUUUCCAUCUUAUCACUUUUUACCUUAACACUAUAAAAAUAUUAAGAUUUAUCAAUUAUGUAAGACAUCUAAAACCUACUUAUGUGUAUAUUUUCUAAAAAUAUCAAUAUUUAUCAAUCGUGUAAAAUAUUCAAAACCUAUACUUAUAAAUAUGUAUUCAUUAAAUGACUAUCAUUGAAAUAUUUUUUUAUUAUAAUUAUUAGUAAGAUGUAAACUUAUUAUAAAUGUGUAUUCAUCAAAUGAUGAUCAUUGAAAUAUUUUUUAUUAUAAUUAUUAGUAAGAUUUAUUCCAUUUAUAAAUAAAAAAUUUAAUUAUAGGUUUCAUUAAAAAAUAUUUUUUAAAUUUUAAUAGCAUUGUAUAAUUUAAAUAUUAAUAUUUUAAAUCAAUUUUUUAAAAUUAAAUAUUUUUAUUUUUAUUUUUUUAAUAUUUUAAGUUAAAUAUUAAUAUUCAUCACACUUAUACUUAUAAACUUAGUAUAAAAGUGUUUUGGUUGUUCUCUGAAAAAUGUUUUACGCCCUUGAAAGGCGUAAGACAUUUUUCAUGAUUAACCCUGUUAACUUGUAAAAUGUUUUACAUUUGGAAUUAAUUUUNGUAAGAUUUAAACUUAUUAUAAAUGUGUAUUCAUCAAAUGAUGAUCAUUGAAAUAUUUUUUAUUAUAAUUAUUAGUAAGAUUUAUUCAUUUAUAAAUAAAAAAUUUAAUUAUAUUGAAUGGUUUCAUUAAAAAAUAUUUUUUAAAUUUUAAUAGUAUUGUAUAAUAUCAAUGGACAAAUUGCUGCCAGGCACAAAUACUGAUUUAAUACGUGUGAUCAAAGAUGUUUUGCAAAAAGAGUGGGAGGUCCAUUUUAUGCAUAUCUACGGUGAAGGGAAUAUGGUAGCAGAUUACUUGGCUAAUUAUGGUUUUGUUUUAGAAGAAUCUUAUGUUGUACUUGAACAAGCUCCCACUAGAGCAAGAAAACUCUUAAUGUAUGAUAUGUUAGGGGUCUGUCUUUCACGAAUGAUCCCAGUUCAAUAAAAGAACUUGUUUUAAAAAAAAUAAAUAUUAAUUUUUUAAAUUAAUUUUUUAAAAUUAAAUAUUUUUAUUUUAUUUUUUAAUAUUUUAAGUUAAAUGUUAAUAUUCAUCAAAUUUAUACUAAUAAACCUAGUAUAAAAGUGUUUUUGUUGUUCUCUGAAAAAUAUCUUACGUCCUUGAAAAGCAUAAGAUUUUUUUCAUGAUUAACCCUAUUAACUUGUAAAAUGUUUUAUAUCUGAAAUUAAAUUUUCGUCUUCCAAACAAAUAUAAAUCCUGAAAAUGUUUUUUAAAAAAUAUUUUACUACAAACAAAACAGACCUGUAACAUCAAACUCGCUGAUGAAAGGAAAAUGUAAAAACUCUUGAGAAGUUCAAAGGGGAAGUGAACAUUUUGUUUUGCCUGAUAUGAUUAUCAAAAAUAUAUUUCAAGGAAAAAGAAAAGCCAAACAUAUAAUAAUAUUGUGCAUGCUAUAAGGUGUCCUUUCUUUCAAGAUUUUUCAUCAUAGUAGUUAAAAGAGCAUCAAUUUCUUUUUCUUUUUUGAAUUAAAAAAGAAUUACCUAUUUACAUAAAGCAGUCAAAUUAGUAGUAUUAUUAUUCAGAUUCUUAUUAAAAGCUUGUCCUUUUCUUCAACUACACUGAGAGCAAUGUGCUCAUUAAUAAUUCAACCUAUAUUAUCUUAGUACCAACCAAUCACCGGUGCAGCUACUAAACAGUCUUAAUUCUAAUGGUCGAAAAAUGGCCGACAAAAGUCUUAAGUCAAUACAUCAUCGCAAAUGUGUUGCGUCACCUUAUGAACACCACAAAUUCAUCAAAACAAGCAGUCAGUCUCCUCAAACCCACAAUUCAUUUCAUUCUUCUUUGUUCAUCAAUCAAAUAUUUGAUCACUAAAUCAUGGGAAAUUUGUGCUCAAUCUCAAUCACAAUAGAGGAUAUAGUUCAUUGCUGGGAUUGCAUUGUUGGACAAGCAAGUUACACAUGUAAGCUUGAAGAUAAUCUCAAAGCUCUCGGUGCGGAAUUGGCUAAAUUGAAUGCACGAAGGAAUGACGUGAAGCGAAAGGUAGAUCUUGCUGAACAACAAUGUAUGGAGCUGCGGAGCGAAGUUCAACUCUGGCUUUCAGAGGUGCAGACUGCGACAGCGGAAGCUGAGGCGUUGAUUGAAAAUGGUCCUCAAGAAAUUCAAAAGUUAUGUUUUGCUGGCUGUUUUUCCAAGAAUUGUAAGUCUAGUUACAAUUUUGGUAAACAAGUGACUAGAAAUCAUGCAGAAAUAGAUGAUCUAUGGAAACGAGGAGGUUUUGAAACAGUUGCUGAGAAUGAACUUGCACCCAGAGUAGAUGUAAGACCUACUGAACCCACGGUGGGUUUGGAACCAACAUUGGAUAAGGUAUGGCGCUUACUUGAAGAAAACAACGUGGGCAUUAUUGGGUUACAUGGCUCGGGAGGAGUUGGUAAAACAACACUCUUGACCCAAAUUAACAACAAGUUAAGCAACAACCUCAUCGGUUAUGAUGUUGUAAUUUGGGUGGUGGUGUCUAAAGAUCACACUAUCGAAAAGGUUCAAGAAAAAAUUGGUGAAAAGCUUGGCCUUUCAAAUGAGUUAUGGAAGACUGAAAGUUGUGAUAAGAAAGCUACAGAUAUUUUCAGAAAAUUGAGCAAAAAAAAGUUUGUUCUAUUGUUGGAUGAUGUGUGGGAGCGAGUUGAUUUGACGAAAGUUGGAAUACCUGCACCGAAUCAGGGUAAUAGUUUUAAAUUAAUUUUCACAACUCGCUUUUUAGAGGUAUGUGGAGAAAUGGGAGCUCACGAGAAAAUCAAAGUAGAGUGUUUAAGCAAAGAUGAAGCUUGGAAAUUGUUUGAAAAGAAGGUUGGAGAAAAAACCCUUGAUAGCCAUCCAGAUAUUCGAGGGUUAGCUAAACAAGUAGCUGCAAAGUGUGGAGGACUGCCUCUUGCACUGAUUACAAUUGGUCGAGCCAUGGCUUGCAAAACGAUACCCCACGAUUGGAAAUAUGCAAUUGAGGUGUUGAAAGAAUCUCCGCAUAAAUUAGCAAAAAUGGAUCAACAGGUGUAUUCUCUUUUAAAAUUUACUUAUGAUAGCUUGCCUAAUGACUUGAUGAGAUCUUGCCUUUUGUAUUGUAGUUUGUAUCCUGAAGAUUAUAAAAUUGGUGUAAUUUGGCUAAUAGAUUAUUGGUUUUGUGAGGGAUUUUUGGAUGAAUUUGACAACAUAAGUAGAGCUCGAAUGCAAGGGUAUAGCAUUAUCAAUUUUCUUUGUAAUGCUUGUUUAUUAGAAAGAUGUGAAGAUGCAAUAUUUGUAAAGAUGCAUGAUGAGAUCCGUGACAUGGCUUUGUGGAUAGCACGUGAGUGUGAAGCACCUGAGAAGAAAUUUUUGGUACGAGGAAGGGUAAAAUUAAAUACGACAUAUGAUAUUGAAAAUUGGAAAGGUGUAAGAAUGUCAUUGUCGUGCAGUGGAAUUGAAUAUCUAAGAGGAACACCUAGAUGCCUUAAUCUUCAAACCUUGUUUCUUAAUCAAAACAAUUUGAUGAUGAUUAGUGAUGGUUUGUUCCAAUUUAUGCGCAAUCUGAGAGUUCUAAGCUUGUAUGCAAACUUUUCUCUCUGUGAGUUGCCAAAGGGAAUUUCAAACCUGGUUUCACUGGAGUGCCUCAAUCUAUCACAUACAGGAAUAAUGGAGUUGCCAAUUGAGUUGAAUAGGUUGUCAAAACUGAAAGUUCUGAAUUUGCAUGAGACAUUGCAGCUCCAAAAAAUCCCACGACAAUUGAUAUGUAAAUUUUCAGCGUUGCAAGUAUUCGGAAUGUCUGUAUUAUUUGAUAUUUCUGAAGAUCUAGUGGAUGAAGAUAAUGUCCUAAAUGGUGAUCAUGAAGGUCUGAUAGAGGAAUUGAAAUGCUUGCAACAUUUAAAUGAGCUGAAUAUAGAAAUAAGAAGCGUUGUCGCUCUAGAAAGCCUUUUGAGCUGCCACAACUUACGAAGAUGCACUGAACGACUAUUCCUCCGAGAUUUGAGCAAGAGAAAGGUGUUGGAUAUUUUAUCUUUGACACAUAUGGAGCAUUUAGAGAGCCUAAUAAUUAGAUUUUGCGAAAGCAUGGAAGAGAUUGUAAUAAGGAAGAUAGAGAAGGCUCCUUACUUUCACACACUGAAAAGAGUUUCCCUCUUGCAGUUGCAACAACUUGAGAGACAUCACGUGGCUUAUUCUUGCUCCAAAAUUAACGCACCUUUAUGUAGUGUUUUGCUCAAGAAUGGAAGAAAUAAUAAGUGAUAAAGUCACAGAUGUGGUUGGAAUUCCGAACCCAAGUCCAUUUGCGAAUCUAGAAGAGCUUGAUUUACGAGAUCUACAGGAAUUGAAGAGCAUAUACAGGGAUGCCUUGUCCUUCCCAUGUUUAAGAAAAAUCAAAGUAUUCAAUUGCUCAAAACUAGAGAACCUUCCACUCAACUUGGACAGUAGGAAUCAAAUGAGCAUUGAAGGAUAUCAAGAGUGGUGGGAAAAGAUUCAAUGGAAGGAUGAAGCCACUCGAAAAUGCUUUUUGCCCUCUUUCAAAUGUGCAGAGUGGUGGAAAGAGGUAGAGUUCCAGAAGGAAUAUGGUCGAUAUCUUAAUUGUUUCUUUUGGUAAAGACUGCAAAAGAAAGGUGUGUGACAUUUCAGAAGUCAUUUUUCUCUUAUUUUUGUCUUUUAUAUUAUCAUCGUCUUCAACGGUUUGAUAGCUUGCUAACCGUUUGAUAUAAUAAGGUCUCUAAAACCCAAUCCUAGUGCUUCUACUUUAUUUUUUCUUUAUGGUUAAUUUUAAAAGUUUAAACUAUCUCCACACUGUUCAUAAUUUUCUGCACAUCUGCAGGUUUUCUUAUUCUUUGGGCAGAGACUGGUGCAUGGACAAGUUAAUUAGUUUGACAAUAGCUACAUGGGAGGAUUUAGUGUCCAGGACACUGACUCAAUGGUCUAAUAAAUUUCUGGAGUUAUGAUCUUAAGGAGCAUAAAACAAUGAAGAACUCAGGUGUAAUAUACCACAAAGUAUUGUUGCUAUUUUUCUUCUCUUGUCAAGUUUAGUUUGUCUUGGACCUCUGAGAUUGUAAUUUGUAUGUUCUGUUUUGUGUGGUUGUCUUGUUUUCAUCAUAUCCCGUACUUGAUUUGUGGCAAAAUUUCUAUUUGUAUCUGUCAUUUGAUAGUUCUCAACUAAAAUGAAACAAGAUUAGACCUGUUUUAUUGUACAUUGCUGCUUGCUGCAUUUUGGUUCUUGACUUCUUGUCGUGAGGUUUCUCAUCUAAACCAUGUUGCUUAAAAAUUUAACAGGACCAUCUAUUUUUUCUUUGAAAACUAAAUAUGCGGAGAUAUUACCGGUAUGGUGAAGGUCAGAAGUGGACUAUAAUGACGAGGCUUGCAUUAGAAAUUUUGGGAUAACAAAUUGUGAUUAUGUUUUGUCUUGUAUGGAACUUGUGACUGUCUGGGUUCCUAGGUGAUGACAUGAAACUUCUUAUAUUUGGGAUAACAAAUUGCCUUUUUAUCUUCUUCUUGAGUUCCAUCUGAAGCUUAAUAGCCUGCAUUAAUAAUUUUUAUUUCCAACAGUUGAAGCUACAAUUGUCUAAUGUUUGUUUUGUGGUGCAUGCGGCUUUGUCUGUCAACCAUUCACCUUUGAAAUUGUCACAUGGGCCUUGCCUAUUUCUAUGAUACUCAGUCUUGAAUUUGGUCUCUUGCUUGUUCCUUAUCAAACCAUCUCGAUGGCAUUGGAGUCCAUCACUGAUCAGCACUGGUUUAAUGUAAGUGCAUUUCUAGUUGUUCUCUAUCUCCAUGGUAAUGACAAAGAUAUUAGCCUUGGAAGUUGGCCUGGUCUAUCUUCCUGGAAAAAGUUUCUUCUCCAUUUAAAUUACUGAUUCUUCUACUUCCCAUCCACCUCUCUGUUCCUUGCCGCCUCCUUUCUCUUUCCCUUCCCUCUUUUUCUCUUUGAAGUUUAAGACAAAGAUGGGAAAACAAACAACCUGUCCUUGUUGAGUACUAUUCCUUGCCUAAGCAAAGCUGGUUGAGCCAGCUUGAUCCAUGUGACAACCCAGAGAUUUGAGUCCAAUAAGAACAUAAUUAAAAAAAAAAGAAAAACAAAGGAAAAAUCUGGCAUAUGAGUGUUACUGUUACUCCACGUGUCUGUUUCUGAAACCACCAUGUAACAAGCGUGGCGCGAGUAGGUUCAUCUCCCAAAAAGAUCCUGACAAUAGCUGUGUCGUGUUCCAAAUCGAGAUAUUUUCUUCAGACCAAUCUCCAAAGUAAUACGAAACUUUGUUAUUUUUCAUUCUUAUAAAAGUUUUCAAAUGAAGUCAUGCUAAUUAUAAUUACAAUUUCAUAUUUACAUUUUAUCUAUGUAUAUAUCAAUUACAUGUCUUGACAUUCAAUUGGAUUGUUCAAAUUGUUCUCUUAGUUCUCAUAAUUUUAAAGCUCUCAUCUCUAAUUAUUUGUAAAAUUGUAAAUAAGAGAAUGAACAAAUCACUGCUAAGAAAGUAUAGCCAUAUAUACCUUACCAGAUCAAGUAUUAUUUUCAAUAUAUCAUAUAAUUCAUUUAAGAACAUUUCAAUAGAUCAUGCUUUUAAACAGUUAACUAAAUUAUUAUAUCUAAAAUGAAAAAUUUCAUAAAUCAUAAAUUAAAAAACUGAAAUGGUAAGGGUGGGAUGGGGUUGGUAGAAUCUAAGAUUUGAACUGUAAUAGUUUUCCAUUUUUUUAAUUACUAAUAUAUGUAAAUUGUGAAAGAUUUUGAAACCUACAAUUAUUCUAUGCUAUAUAUGUUACAACUAUAAUAUACAUAAUCGUUUAAAUAAUUAUUAUAUGUAUUAAUUUUUUAAAAAAAUUAUAUGAAUUUUUUUUAUUAAUAAUGGAGUAAAAAUAUUUUUAUGAAAUAAUUUCAUUUUUCAGUCAAAUAGGCAUAUAUAUAUAUAUACACCGUAUAAGUAGGCAUACAAAAAUAAAAAAAAAUGUAUAUAAUUGGUUAUUGUAAAUAAUAUUCAAAAACUUAUAUAUUCAAAUUAAUAUUAAUAAGCAUAUAAUUAUUAAAAUUGGACUAGAUGAACCAAAGACUUAGUCAUUAGACUGAUCUAGUCCUUGUGUUGAAUCAUAAACACAAAUGAUCUACUUUUCAAUAUAUAUAGACACACAUGCACGCACAAAUGACCAAGUCAAACCUGAUUAAAUUCUCAGUCAUUAAUUUGGUACCAACUCAAAUGAUUAUCCUGAUUUUGUUCCCAUUUGACUUAUAUUCAUAAAAUUAUAAUCAAUUUUAUAUUCAAUCUUAGGAAUUAUGUAAUUUUAAUCAAUUGUACAAAAUUAAAACUGCUUUUUAUAGGAUGAGUCUAUCUGCGAUCAUAUUUUUAUUUUUUUCUCAAUGUAAAUGUAAGUUUUUUUCUAUUUUUUAAAAUAUUUUGUCAAAUAUAAAGAAAUUUAAGGAGAGAAUUUAAAUUUUAACUUUUAUUAGUUAUUUUUUAGAAUUAAAUAUUAAUUGUAAAUAUUAUACACAUAAGAAAAUUCCAAAAAAAAUAGUGUGUCAUUAUUCAUCCUCUUGAUUGAAAGCAACGUGUCGAUUAAUAAUUUAAUCUAAAUUAUUUUAGUACCAACCAAUCACCGGCGCAGCUAAUAAACAAUCCUAUGCUAAUGGCCGCCAAAGUCUAAGUCAACACAUGGCAAUCUCCUCAAACCCUAAAUUCAUUUCAUCCGUCUUUAUUCAUCAACCGAAUAUUUGAUCAAUUAAUUAUUAGGAAUGUUAACUCAAUAAUAAUUUAAAAAUAUUCAAAAGGGGUGAAUUAGAUUUAUAAAAGUUCUUUUCAACAAAUUAAAUUUUUAAUAAAGAUAAACUUGAAAACAAAUUUGUCAAAUUUGUUUUCACUUUAAAACAUACCAAAAGUAAUUUAAUAAAUAAAUUAAUGAACAAACAAGUUGAAAACAAAUUUUCAAACUCUUUAAGGCAAAAUGCACUAGUGUAAAAUUUUUACUAACUUCCAAUCAAGUCAAGUUAAAAAUAAUUUUCACAAAUUUGUUUCUUUGUCAAAAUGUGAAAGGUAAUUUGAUGAGUAGAUCAAAGAAUAAAUAAUUUUCCCUUUGAGAGAAAAUCUAACUGCAUACAAAUAAAAUCAUUUGAAUGCUAUACAAAGACUGACAAAGUUUGACCAAAUUGUAAGAAAACCAUUACCCAAAAUUACCAAAAAGUAGAAAAAAUUUAAGGUAACAAUAAAACCUCCCAAUGACGUCCCGAUGCCAAAUACCUUUGCACUCUUCACACAACUGCACAAGGCUUGCCCCAAAGGACUUUACAUUUGACGGACCUAGUUUAUCCUAUACUAACCAUGUGGCUCAAUUUUGAAAGCUUAAUCAUACAAGGCAUUCCAAUGAAUGGCAUAGACCCAAGGAUUCCCACACAACACAACUUUCUAUAUUCUAACAGAGACGUAGAACAUUAUCCAGAUGUGAUUUUUCUAAGCAUACCAAAUCAUACAAACACUGGCCUUUACCCAUCAGCAAACUCUAUACCAGGUUUUGAUCCUAUAUAUUUCAACAAAACAUGAAAAGCUAUGCUGGAACUAAACACGGCCCUGCUGCUCUGUGUUCUCCAUUUCCCGCACACUGUCUACCAUGUGUUGGAUCUUCCUUCUCAGUAUAGUUUCAAUUUCAUCGGAUGUUUCUUCUUUGACAGACUCUCAUUGUAAAUACUAUCCAAGAUUUACCCUGCAAUGUUUAGGAGGCUGAUCCAGGAUGAUUCCACAAGGAGAUAGGUGAUGGCUUCCACACUGCAUUGUGCCCUUGGUCUGAAAAGUUCUGUUUCUUGAAAAAUUCAACUUGUUAGUCAAUCUGUGUAAAUUGCAAUUGUCAUAGCUAAAUAACUGGAACUGACUAAUGAGUCAGUUCCAAAAGGGUGAUAAACUAAAACUAUUUAGAGUUUGUUACAAUUUUUAUUGAAUAAUUAACUAUAUUAAUUGAUAUAACAAAUAUACAAAAUGGUUAAACUAAUUCUUAUCAAUUUCACCUAUCAAUAUUUCUUUUUUUCUUUUCAUACCGGCUCAUCACUUUCAGGUCAAUUUGUUUGGUUUGGACAUGUAAUGUCAAACUCGCCAACAAAAGGAAAAUGUAAAAACUCUUGAGAAGUUCAAAGGGGAAGUGAACAUUUUGUUUUGCCUAAUAUGAUUAUCAAAAAUAUAUGACAAGGAAAAAGAAAAGCCAAACACAUAAUAAUAUUGUGCAUGCUAUAAGGUGUCCUUCUUUCAAGAUUUUUCAUCAUAGCAGUUAAAAGAGCAUCAAUUUCUUUUUCUUUUUUUGAAUUAAAAGAGAAUUACCUAUUUAUAUAUGGUAGUCAAAUUAGUAGUAUUAUUAUUCAGAUUCUUAUUAAAAGCUUGUCCUUUUCUUCAACUACAUUGAGAGCAAUGUGCUCAUUAAUAAUUCAACCUAUAUUAUCUUAGUGCCAACCAAUCACCGGUGCAGCUACUAAAUAAUCCUAAUUCUAAUGGCCGACAAAAGUCUUAAGUCAAUACAUUAUCGCGAAUGCGUUGCAUCUCCCUAUGAACACCACAAAUUCAUCAAAACAACCAGACUCCUCAAACCCACAAUUCAUUUCAUUUCAUUCUUCUUGGUUCAUCAAUCAAAUAUUUGAUCACUAAAUCAUGGGAAAUUUGUGCUCAAUCUCAAUCUCAACGGCGGAUACAAUCCCUCGUUGCUGGGAUUGCAUUGUUGGACAUGCAAGUUACACACGUAAGCUUGAAGAUAAUCUCAAAGCUCUCGGUGUGGAAUUGGCGAAACUGAAUGCGCGAAGGGAUGACGUGAAGCGGAGGGUAGAUCUUGCCGAACAACAACGUAUGGAGCCGCUCAACAAAGUUCAACUCUGGCUUUCGAGGGUGCAGACUGUGGGAGCAGAAGCUGAGGUAUUGAUCAAAGGUGGCACUCAACAAAUUUAGAAAUUAUGUUUUGGUGGCUGCUUUUCGAAGAAUUGUAAGUCUAGCUACAACUUCGGUAAACAAGUGACUAGAAAACUUGCAGAAAUAGUUGAUCUAUCGAAUCAAGGAGAGUUUGAAAGGGUAGUUGAGAAUGAACUUGCACCCCAUUUGGAUGUAAGACCUAUUGAGCCCACGGUGGGGUUGGAACCAACAUUGGUUAAAGUCUGGCGCUUACUUGAAGAAAACAAUGUGGGCAUUAUUGGGUUACAUGGCUUGGGAGGAGUUGGUAAAACAACACACUUGACCCUAAUUAACAACAA